UUUUUUUUUUUUUGAACAACAUAUUAACAAUACAUAUGUAUGAAAAAACUAGGAGUCUAAACUCUGAACCAUUAUAUUUAUAAAAAUUUAGAGGGGUGAUAAAGAACCUACAGCCAGUUAAGCAUGCUGCAUACCCACUUCUCAGGUAAAUCAGAAGGAUUUAAGCCUAUUGGAAGAAGGCGCCACUUCAGGCACUUGUCACAAGAAACCCAAUUUUCAUUUAUCAAUACAGGAGCUGCAGUUCCAAGGGAAGCCCCAACAGUGUUCACACUGCCAGAGUUAGAAGCACCAUCCAAUGUUGCUCCAGGGAAUGAUUUGCUUGCCAGUAAAUCCUCUCUUUUCUUACCACUUCGUCUGCCAUUAUGUGAACUAUUAAUGGCUAAUGUGUUUUUUCCAAUCAUAUCAUCUUCCUUCAGUUGAUCUUUAGAACGAAUUUCUAAAGAACUUGUUAGGUUCUCUUCAUGUUCUGAUCCUCCAACAUCUCCAAAAAAAUCUCUAUCCCUAUCUUCAGCCUUUUGAAAAGGUCUUUCUAAUUUUUGGUCUCCCGAGUCCUUUUUGUUUGUAUUAUUGUUCACAUGAGCAGUCUGCUUAUUUUUCAGCAUCAAAGAAGAACCAACCCUCAAGCUGUCUUUUGGUACCUCGGCAGCUAGACUGCCUUGACCAAGACUGCUUUUUGAUUUAUUUUUUCCACCAGAGAAGGUUUGCUCCUUGGCAGAAGGCAACUUCAGAUUGUGUUGCUCCUGCAAUGUAGCUUUCAGGUUGCUCUUCUUCCUAAAAGGAUCUACCGCUUCACUAUUUAGAGCUUUGCUACCUUUUGGAACAUUAGACUCAGCUUUAACAAAAUUAUAAGUGUUUUCUGCUUUAAUAUACUCAUAUUUUCUCGUGCAACCUGAAUUAUCAUCUAGAACACUUGUCUUUUGUUCCUCCAGAACCUUUUGAGCUGAACUAACCCUUGGAUUCUCCCAACCAAUAUCUUGGGUAAGUAUAGGCUCCACCGACUCCUCCACAGCUACAUGAUGUACACCUUUAUUUCUUGCUAUGCUAUUAUCUUUUACCUUGCCAACAGCAGAAUAUGGAUUAGAUAAAAGAGGAAGCUCUAAUGUUCUUGAAACAAGCUCCUCACAAGCCAAUGCAUCAGUAUCUACUUCCUUCUUUGACAUGAUACCAUUGCCAUUCUUUAUUUCCCUUUUACUGCCAACCUUCCUUUCCACCAGAAAAUCCUUUUUCUCCACUGAGUCUGAAUUAGCUUUCUCAUCUCCCAAUAAUAUUUCAUCACCCUUUCCAGAAUUAGAUAUAUUCUCUUUUAAGAUUUUUUCCUCCACAAUCAAGUUAAGUAGAUGAUCAGAGAGAGGAGACAAUAGUGCUUCCCCAGGUACUGGGAAGGAAGUCAUCAACUGCUCACAUUCAGAAUAAAAGAAAAUAUUUCAAUCACUUUAGGUAUAUCAAAUGUAAGAAAAUACAAUAUCAAAGAUGAAGAAAAACAUUCCUUUAAUGAGAAGAAUAAUAAAUAUUAAAUGGAGGAUUUACCUGAAGAAUACUGGUUGGAGAUUCAAAUAUGGGCUCUUGAGUUCCCCCAUACAUCCCUUCACUUUCAGAAGGGCUCUCAUCUAAGGAGGAAGAUGGUGAGACAUCAAGGCCAAGACCACUGUAGAUUGCAGCAUUUUUUUGUGUCAACAAGUUGUCUGAACCCAUUUUGAUUCGUAGCUUCAAUGUUUUCUGGUCUGGCAGAUUGGAAACUUUCUUGUCCGCAUAUUCACACCUAGCGGCAACCUCAUGAGCAUGAGUAGAUGUUAAGCUGACCUCUUGCUUAAUUGAAUCAUUCGCAUAUGAUGCCUUUAAAGCAGGGAGGGUUCCAAAACUUGUAGGAUGACGACCAUCCUAUAUAACAAAACAAACAAAGUGCUCACUUUAACUUGGACUUCUCAAAUCAACCAACAUCCUGCAAAAGAUUCCUCCCUUAUACAAAUUGAACCAUACUUUCAAGUGAGGAAAAGAGAUUAAAGAAACUUUUACCUCCAACUGUAUCGUGUUAGGAAAUCUAGGUGCAUUGCAAUUCUGAACGUUCGGUGAACUCGUCGGAUGAUACCGGCCAGGAGAACGUUGAUAAGUAGGUAAGAAUGAUCCAUAUCCACCAAAUUUUGCCCCUGCACAAAUGCCAAGAAUCCAAAAUCCGGAAUUCAUCAAUUACAAACCAUGAAUUCCAACGUAUUGACUCUUGACAUAAAGAACAAUGGUUCUCUUUUUCUUCCAGCUUACCCAGGUUUUCUGCAGAUACUCCACCUUCAAAAUCCUUUUGAAAAUGUCCAAGAAUAUGUUGAAUUUUCUCAUCCUUAAAAAACAUUACAGGAGCCACACAUCACUAAAAAGAUCAUAAACACAUGGAGAGAAACUAAGAACAAACAUCAAAAAAGUUAUAAGAGAGAGGUCUAUAUACAUAUAAUCCUACACCAGUACACUAGCUCUUAGAAGCUAAUCCUCUAAAAGCAUUUAUACUACAAUGAGAUCUAUAAGCUAACUAAGGAGCUUGAAUCUUACUCUCCUAACUUCCAAUUAAGAAAUUCCCAUAAUUUACCAUAAUAAAACAUCACCAACCUUACAUUGAAGCGAACAUUCAAGAAAUGCCACUUGAAUUUUACUCUGCUAACCUAUGUUGCUCAGACUCAUCAAUUGCCUUAAAGCUUAAGAUACAUGAUUCACCAUAAAAGGGUACAAGAGAAAGAUACAGAUGUGAGGAGUCGUUUUACAUUUACUUUAAUAUAAUAUAUACAUUUACACAAAUAUAAUUUGCAUGAAUUAUUUGUUUGAUUUUGAUAGUUAAUUUCAAUUUAGGUGAAUAUUAUAAUGGAUGAAGACCAUAUUGAUAUGUUGUCUAUUUUUUUAGGUAUGAUUGUUGAAAGGGAAAACUGGUUAGACUAAUAUUCUUGUUUGAGCCAUUUAUUUUUAACUGAGCCUUAGCCUUAACCUUAAUGAUUAAAGAAUCGGACACAUACCCCGCACCCUUGUCCAUGUUGUAGGUGAAGAUGGUCAUAGGAGCCAAGGGGGGCCAAAAUUUUUUGAAAAUUUUAAUUAGGCCCCAAAAAUAUUUAAAAGUUCUCAUUAAGCCUUCCAAAAGUUCUAAAAAUUUUAACUAGACCCCUUCAGUUUUUUUUUUUUGUAAAUUCUCAUUAAGCCUCUAAAAUUUUGAAAGUUUUAAUUAUGCUCGUCAAAAUUUUUGAAAAUUCUCAAUUAAUCCCCCAAAACUUAGUGGCAAGAUCUGAGAGUGCCAUGUGGUGUCAUGCCAACACAUGUGUGACUCCCAUUUUGGUGAGUCUGAGCUAUAGAGCUGCUAACUUCCAAUAACGAAUGUUAAUUUCAAAAUUACCAUAAUUAAGCAUCACCAACCUUACAUGGAAAAAAGUUACAAGCAAUUCUUUCCCCAUUAAACAUGUGUCCAACUCACAUCCAACAAUUCAAAAACCCUAAAACCAUUCAUACACUACUACCAAAAACAAAAAGAAUUAUUUAUGAUCAUGCAAGACACAUUGCAUAAAAAAAUUAUCUUCCCUUAAUUAGAUGCUUUAUUAUGAUUAUCAUCUAAAAGAAUUAAUAAGACAAGGAGACUAUAUAAGGUAACUAAUGCACAUGAACCUUACUCUCUAACUUCCAAUUACAAAAUCCCCAAGGUUAUAUUCAACAUUACCACAAUAAAACAUCACCAACCUUACAUCAAAACAAAAGUGAAAAGAAUGUCACUUGAAUCUCACUUAGCUAACUUCCAAUUAUGAAUACUACAUUCAAGAUUACCAUAAUUAUACAAGGAAGCAAAGUUAUGAGCAUUGAACCCAGUGUUUGCUCCUGCAAAAGGUGUGUAAGUUGUAACAAAAAAAAAUCAUGUGCAUUGCCUUCUCCAGUAAACAUGUGUCUAACUCGCAUCUAACAACUCGAAAACCAUAAAAUUAUGAAUACACCACUACAUACACACUAAAAAAAACCCUUCAUUUAUGACCACGUUACACAUGUAGUAGAAAACAAUUCUAUUCACCUAAUUAAACCUCUCAAAAGCUAAAUUCUUUAGAUACGUACAUCAUAAACCACACAAAACUAGCAAUAUCGGAAUAAAAAAUUAAAAGCCAAUCAUAACUUAUACAGAAAGUAACACAAACGGUAAAAACAUUUAAACUGAAAUUAUAAUAUAAAUGAAGAAAUAAAAACGAGUCAAAACAAUAUAAAUGAACAUUGAAUUUUUUUUAAAAAAUAUAAGCCAGCUUUUUGCAGAUCAGAGGAAAUAAGAAGAACCAAGUUUUCUUACAAUGUAAGAGAGAGAAGAUAGAUCAUUCUUGGGGCCGAAUGUGCCAUCAUAAGCAUCGUCAUUGUCAUUAUUUGAACAAGCCUCUCCUUCUUCAAGCUCAGUCUCUUCCAUUUCUCUUGCACCAAAACCUAAUCCUAGCCCCUUCCUCGUAUCGUUACACCAUAACGAAAUCAUUCAAAAAAAAGAGAAACAUUUUUCUUAAGAAAAAAAGGAGAGUAAAUCUGACCUGAAUUAUCAAAUUCUCAAACGUAGUUUUCUAUUAUUCGAAUCCCACGAGUCUUUUUCCCUACCAUUUUGAACAACUCCCUAAAAACCACCAUGAGGAAAGGGGCUCUUCUACCCUAAUUUCCAUAAAAAAUAUAAACAAAAAACUCGAUCACAAAUUCAAACGCCUAAUCAAAAUUUUAGAAUGGUUCAAUUUCCGAAAAGAAUAUUAAAGCGAUUUAAACUCAAGGAUCUCCUCGAAUUUUAUUGUUUUGUAGUGAAAUUUUUUGGUUCUUUUUUUUCGAUUCGAUCUCUUUUAGCUGGAAUCAAUAAGCACAUAAGAAAAUGAGAGAGAGAAAGAGAAACUCUCUCUGGUUUUGGUGCCAAAGCAGCCGCCUUUUAUUUACUUGUUUAUUUAUUUUUAUUUCUCCUCUCUCCUUCUUCGUCGUUUUUUGUUUUGAUCAUUUCUAAGUCUUUUUACUUUUCGAGGUGUAUAUUUUAGGUUUUUUAUUUGAAUAUUAAAAAAAAUUUAUUGUGGUGGUUGAUCUUGAAAUCCGAUUAAAUUGGUUAAUUGGAUUAAGAAGUGAUAGAUAUAAUUAUUUAAAUAAUAAAAUUCAACCAAUUAAUUAAAAGUUGUAAAAAAAAUCGAAAUCAUCGCUUCAAAUUUUAAAAAAAUUGGUUGUCACAGCUUAAUAAUUAAGGGUGUUCAAAUUUCAGUUAAAAUUAAAUUAAUUAAUUAAUUUAAUUUAGUCGGAGGUCGAUUAAUGAUUAUUUGAAAGUUGUUCAAAAUCAAAUAAUUAACUAAAUUAAUCGAACUUAAUAAUUAAUAAUACAAAUUAUAUGUACUAUUAAUUCGGUUAAUACGAAUUCUCCCACUCAACAAAAAAAAUCUUAAACUUGUUUAAAUUUCUUUUCUCAUAAAAUGAGUGUUUUAAGGUUUCACCCAUGGAUAUGUUAACUUAUUCAAAAUUUUAUUUUUAUUAUUUUGGAAUUUUUUUAAGAUUUAUGAAAUUAAUAUUAAUAUUUUUUAUAGUCUUAACAACAAAGAGAUUGAGUUAUUUAAACUUUCUAAAGUUAGAUAGAUAUAUGAAUAUUGGCAAUAUCCCACAUUAGGAAAAGAUAGAAAGGGAGGGGGUUUGGUUUGUUAUAUAUAGAACCCCUCCCCCUUUGGUUGUAUCAUCCCAAAAUCUUCUCCUUUGUAAUAUUUCUAGAAGAAAUAUUAAUUUGGUAGUGUCCGAGGACAUAAGCUAAAUUGGCCGAACCUCGUUAAAUCUCUGAUAUUUUAUUUCUUAUUUGUUUGCUUAUAUUUAAUAGCUUUAUGUUGGUUAUAUUUAUUUAGUUAUUAUUACUAUAAAUAUCUAAGUGAGUUCUGUCUAGUUGUUGGGUUUUAAGCGGGACCAUUUGUGACCCCUCCAAUUUAACUGGGAAUUUUCUUAGUAUAAUUGUUGGCAUAAUAAUUAUCUAAAUAUUUCUGAUAAUAUUGUUAUUAAUAUUAUCGUCGCUUCCGCAACAAGAUAGAUAUAUCCCGAAUAAUUUAAGGCAUAAUGAUAUUGAAAUUACUUGUCAUUUUGCUUGAAAAGAUGGAACACAUACAUUUUUUUCAUGUAAGGAAUUAAUUAAACAUUGGAAGUUGUCAUUUUAAUAACUAGUCUUCCAAUCAACGGGCAAGUGAUAAUUAGAGAUAAUAAAAUGGAUGCAAAGUCAAGUGUUACUGAUUUGUUGUAUGUUGCAUCAUCUUAGAAUGAGAAAAAUUAGACGAGAAUUGGGUGAAAUGUACAUUAUUAGAAAGACUUGUCAAAUUGGUCCUGCACUACAUGCAAAUAUAGAGUAGAUUGAUCGAUAUGCUAGAGUUUGAAUGCAUUAGAUCAAGAUAAUCAAUUCCAUUCUAGUAGUAAAUCAGAGCAAUUAACUCUAGGUUCCACUCUGGUGCAAACUUCCGUCGGUACUGACCAUAUCACUACGUACCUAUCGAAAUAUGGUGUACCGAUUGGUACAAAAAAUAUAAAAUUAAAUUUUUUAUUAUUUAUUUUGAAUUAAAUGAAUUGUGAAUUUUGCAAUAUGCGUGGUAUAGGAUGAUCUUAUUGUUUAAUUUAUGCAAUAAUUUUUUUUAGCUUAUUUAUUUUAGUUUGCUUAAUGGUGGAUUGUAUUUGUAGAGCUUAUUAAAGAAUAUUUUCAUGUAAUUCAUGAGUAUUUUAUAUUUAAUAUUUAAUCUCAUUAUUUAUUUGUACAUAUGUUUUAUACACAUAUAUAAAAUAUUUUUUUUUAAAAUAGUUAAAAAUCUAAAACAAUACAUUGAAAUAUAUUAACACUUGUAUGUAUUAAUACCAGUAGAAAAAUGGUACGUCCACUAGUACAGUACUAGCUACCUUGCUUUAGAAGAUAAGAGGAAUGCUACUUCCAUAUAAGUCUAGCAACAAGGUCCAUGCCAUGCAUCUUCCUCUACUAGAAUCUUUCAAUAUAGCCAAUACAUUCAACUAUGGGUCAAUAACUCUAGCAUAUUUGUGUAAGGCACUUUGUAGGGUGACUCAACAUAAGAUAGAUAAAAGUAAGCAAUUGUUGUAUAAUUCUACAAACUAGGGCUAGAUACAAACAUCGUGGUUUGCUUUCAUUCUUUCUUAGUCAUAGGAGUUCCUUAUUAUUCAAAGGUAAAAUUAUAAUCGUAUUGAAUAUCUUAAAAUGUAUCAAAUGAUCAAUAUUUUUAAUUUUUCAUUGUAUUUAACAUUUAAACAGAUUUUGGGGUCACUUAAAUCAUAUCAAUUAUAGAAAGGACCUUACUUGAAUGUGAUAGGAAAUUGAUCAACUACUUGAUCAAGAUGUAUGUGAUGUUAUUUUCAUAUUCAAUAUAAGAGAUUAUUUCUAUGAAUGGAUAUAGUUAUAUUUAUUGGAAAUGUUUGUAAUUUCUUUAGAUAUUGUACCUGGACAAGGCACUUAUUAUCAUUCUACGAAGGACAACAUAUGCAUACUCUACAUUGUGAAAGUUGCAAGUACCCAUCACUUGUUCCAACAAUAAGGAGUGGUAGCAACUUGAUCAGGAGAAAUGAUAGUUUGAGUUAGUGCAAGAAAUUUGAAUGAUCAAGAAAACCUCGAUCAGCUUUAUAAAAUAGAUUUGAAGGGUAAGAAGCAUCGAUGCACAAAGCGUUCACAGUGUGUUGUGCUCUAGGGCCAGUGAACUCGGUAUUUCAUUUAUAGGAACAUUAUCCAGGAUAUUAAUUUCCAUCCCAAUAAGGUAUGAAUGCAAUGGUUUGUGCAAAUGGGUCUAUUGCGGUUAUAUGAGGUUUUGGUCGACUAGUGCAACUUCUUCAGCCAAAGCUAGAGCCACCAUACAACAAUUCGAGCUGGAGCCAUAUGUCAAAUCUACCUUCCAGGGCCUUGCGGCCCCUUCUGCCCUUUUGACAUUUUAUCUAAUUGGGUAUUUAUUUCAUGUUGGUGAUGGAUCCAAUCAUACUAACACUCUUCCUUCAUCACUUAUGACACUAGUGAUGGAAAAUAUACUUAUAAGUUUAGAAUUUACGUAGCUUUUCGAUCUGACGAGUCCCUACACACUUCAACUCCUUUGUAUAUUGCAUCAUUAUUCUCUAACAAGUCAAUCAGGCGUGCAAUUUAACAUCUUCUUAUUGAUGCAUGAAAUGAAUCAUGGUGAUGACAAUGAUACUCCAAUCUAGGCACCAAUGCAGUGGAAUCCUGGAACCAAAAACUACUGGUAUACAGAUCUCUUUCACCACAACAACUUCACUAUGUUAUUUUGAAUCCAUUGAUGUAAUGUUAAUUUUGUCGCAUUUAUUUUUGGGUCUACUUAUUUAGUUAUCAAAUUAGUGAGCUAUAAUUUUGUGAGACAAGGUCAGAAUGAUUUCGGGUUCCCCUAUUUGAAUUUGGAAAAUCAUAAAAAAUUGGAUAAAAAUAAUUAGAGGCUUAAAUUUAUAUGUUUAGAAUCCUGAAUAAGUCUAUUUUCAAGAUAAACAAACGAGGGCAUCAUUCGAAUCUUGUACGAGAAGAUAAUUAAUUUUUAGUGAAGAAUGGUCAGAACUGUCAGACAGCAGAACAAGGGAGACUUCAAUGAAUAAACUUUAUUUAUUGGCCCAACCAAAAAUUAUGAAAUUUUUAUGGUAAGAAGACAUAUGAGUCUAGUUUUGGGAAAAUUUAUGGAUCUUAAUUUCGAGUUCUGUAGCUCAAGAUAAAAAUAAUUUAGUGACUAUGACACAGAUGGACAGCUUGAAUCACUACAGCAAAACUGACUUUUAGCGGCGUUUUUUUAGACCUUUAGCGGCGUUUUUCUAAGCGCCGCUAAAAACGUCUCUAUUUCUAAAGUUUGCGGCGUUUAUUUGAAAAAAACGCCGCUAAAAGCCAUGACCUUUAGCAGCGCUUUUCCCACAAACGCCGCUAAAGGCCAUGACCUUUAGAGACGCUUUUUCCAAAAACGCCGCUAAAGGUCAUGAAAUUCAAAAAAAAUUAUAAAAUAUUAUAAAAGUCAUGAAAAAUAUAAAAAAUUUAAAAUUCAUUAUCAAAAUAUUGAAUGAUAUAAAUAUAAAAAUUUUCUAUUAAAAUUUUAACUGUAAAACUAAAUACAAAAAUUAAUGAAUUUAAAUUUAGAAUUUAAAAUAAUAAAUUAAUAACACAAUUAAAAUCCAAAAGUUAGAACUCAAGUUAUCUUAAAUAUUAAAAUAAAAAUAAAAAUUUAGAAUCAAAACUAAAAUAAAUAAUAAAAACUAGAUUAAUUAUAAAAAUAUCAAUAAAAUAAGACAUUAUAAUGAAGUUACUUAAAUGAAAUAAGGAAAUGCAUUAGAUUUGGCGACCUUUUCUCUCCACCCUUUCUGACGAGCUCUUAUUUCCCACAUUGCUGUUAAUUUCAUUUGAGCCGACAGUGCUUCUUCAGCUUUCUCCCUUACUUCUUCGCACGUGUCCAUACCCGAAUUGCAUUUGUCCGCUUCCUUUUGAUAUUGUGAUGCUAACUUCUUAGCCUCGAGUAAAAAAAAACAUUUAUGUAAAAAAUUAUAACAAUUAAGCAUUAGUGACAUACAAUUAACGAUUAAAAUAAAAUAAAACAUAUAUGUAACAAAUAAAUUGUUGGUCAGAAAAAGUUGUAAAAAAUGAAAAAAGGCAUUUGCAAUCAAUCUUAAAAUUAGAGGUGAUCUAAAAGGCAUAGAAAAUCAAAUGUAAAAUUUCUUUGUAUUAAGUUACUUUGUCCCAUUUUCCAAUAAAUACAUCCAUCCAUGACAAAGAAACAGGAAACUGACCUGUAAAGGAAGCAUUGCUCAGUCAUGCAUUAAUUAAAGAUAGAACCAUAAAAUUAGCUUAAUUCUGCUGGGCAAAAUUGCCAAAGAUCAGAUAAUUAACAUUUCCAAAUACCCGAUUAACAUCUUUAAUAAAAAUGGAAACUUGAAACUUUGCAGGGCAAGUAGCAUAGAGAAUGCUAAUACAAAGCAACAAACAUAAUAGAAAGAAAGGCUAACAACAGCUUGCCAUGCAUGUAAGCAUUCAUAAAACAGGCAUGAGUUUCAACUUUCAAUAAAUAGCUGCAUAACUACCAAGCAAAACCCCAUAGCCAAGGAAAUGCAUAAAAAAACAUGACAACUGGGACAAGUGGCUUUGGCAAAAAAAGAAAAAAAGAAAAUGCAAAACAAAGGAACUAAUAGCAUAACAAGGGACAAAGAAUUGAUUGACACUACUAUCAUCUAAAAAUUCAAAAUGAAAGACAUAAAUGUAGAAGUUCGACAUUAAAGGACAUAAAUGCCAAUGUUAAAGAAGCUGGACCACAGGUUAAACCAGUUGGUUUGAUUGUUUCUUAUUUUAUUUUUUAUGUUUAAACAUUAAUUUAAUGUAAAAUAAAUAGUUAAUAUAAUUAAUAGUCAACAAUAAUAUGCAUUUACCUUAAUGGCAUGGUCUUUAAUUUAAGCAAAAAGGGAAAAAAAAUAAUUAGUUUUUUACCUGUUCAAUAAAUAAUGGCAUGGUCUGUUUCAUAUUUUGUAUAUACUAUAUGGUAUUACAGUGUUCUAGCCUCUAAAACCCUCCACUAUAUAAACAUAAUAAGGACAAAAAAGAAAACGCAAGAAAAAGAUAAAAACCUUUUGUAAUGUAAUUCCAGCAGCUUCUCGUCUCUUUCCCGUUGCCUUUUCAGCUCAACCUCUGCCUUCAUUUUUGCUGCUGCUUCAGCAGCUAAGAUUUGAGCUUCAAUCUUUGCCUUUUCUGUGAAGGUUCAAUCAUCAUCUAUAAGAUCUCAGGGCACACUAUUGCCUCACAAAUACUUAACCAACUUAAAACUACUACUACUAAUAGAAACUGGUCCCUGUAUGCACCAGAAGGAAUAAUAUUCCUAAUCACUCAAAACAUAUCUCCAAUUACCAUUAAAUAUAGAUAUAUAUCAAGCCAACCAAACAAAUCAUUUCAUUUCUCUCAUUCAAAGAUAACCUAAAGAUACUAGCACAUCAAACAUGAAAGAAAGCGAAACUGUGGAAAGCGAUUCGGCCAGGUUUUUCAGCAUCUAGAGUUUCUGUCAAUGUUGGAGAAGAGAUAAAUAUUCGAGUAAUUCAUGCUUAUAGUAAUUCAUGCUAAUAUGAAGUUUGAUUGAUAAAAAAUGUUUAUGCAGUUUUUAGCAUUUGCACUCUAUCAAUCCAUUACUGCUGAGAUCUGAUUACUAAGUCAGCCAUACAUAUCUCUCUUGUUUGUAAAAUAUGCUUAUAAAUAUAUAUAUCUUUCUUUUCUGAAUGAUGAACUCAAAAGAGAUUAAAACUAUUGCAGCUUCUAACAUUGUAUACUUUUCUUAAGAUCCAAGUGAUUCAUGAUUCUAGCUAUUAGGAUAUAAUUGAAACCAUGUUUUUUUGCAGGCAAUAGUAAUAUAUAAAUUAUCAAAAACUUUACAGUAGCGUGAUCUAUCUUUAGCUCAUUGCAAAUCUAAUUAUCUUUAUUAUAUUUUGAAAGCCAGGUCGACUGAAGGCAAACAAAAAGCUUUUCUUUAUAUAUAUUUGAUGUAUAACGGAGAUCCUAUAAUGUCUUAAAAAAUGAAACUAUGUCAUCCCAUAUUGUCACUCGGUCUCACCACCACCAUUGAUCUUGAUGAGCUUAAACCUCCUCAUUAGUCUCCAUAUAUUAAGUUCAUUGGACAUAUAAAAUCAGUACCUCUGGGAGUCUCUCAGCUGCUGCAGCUUCCUGAUCCACAUGCAAGAUGAGAAAGGCCAAAAAUCAAUAAGUAAUACAGAGCAAAUAAGGAAAAUAUUGUAUAUUUUCUCAGUUUCUUGCCACUUGCCAAGAAGAAACAUGAGGUCUCUCACCAGGGAAAGUAAUUUCUUUAAAAGUGCAUUCUCAUUUCUCAAUUGCUCCACUUUUUCUUCCAGAAAUCUUGUAUGCUCCUUCAAAACAAGAUCGCAGCCUUAGUAUAGGAAAACAGUUACAUCUGUGGAAAUUAAAAUCGUAAGAACUAAGUUCCCGUUUCAGCUCUACUAAUAAAACAGGAAAAAGAAAGGAAGAAUUGUAAUUUUCGACUAGUAUGCUUGCAUAUAUAUACAUGCUGCCUUCUAGAUAUGACUGUAUGGAACAACUUGGCUAAGUUUGGGGUUGUAUUCUAGAUUCUACUACUACUGCGCACACAUACGCACCUGAGACCUGGCUCGAGAUUUUGCAGCUGAAAUUCUGUUUUUGAUCUUAUUCUUCCUCUUCUUUUGCUCAGCCUCUUCAAUGGCUUCUUGUAUUUUGUUCCUCCCUCUCUUGUAAACAGGUAAAUCAUUCAUUAUGAGCAACUCUCCACUUCCUGAUGGUGCAUCUGCAGCCAAAACCUGCAUUCGAGACCUAUAUGGGAACCCUAAUGGAUUAAUUAAACACCCUCCAUUUCUGAUAAUCUUAUUCUGAUCAUUUAGACGACAAGAAGAAGAUCCAGUUUCUUUCACGACAUUAUGAAUCCCUAUUUCCUGCUGCUGUGGUACACUAUUGCAGGUUGCAUUAGGAAUUUGCUGCUUUCUUGCGGCUGUUCAUCGUCUGGUUUCUCAACUUUGACAUCACUCAUUUCUCUCAUUCAACUAUAAGCAUGAAUUACUCGAAUAUUUACCUCUUCUCCAACAUUGACAGAAACUCUAGAUGCUGAAAAACCUGGCCGAAUCGAUUUCCCUAAUACCUGAAAAAAAUUGAAUUUUUUUAAAUAUAAGGGCUUUACUUAAACGAAGAACUAUUAAAAAAACUUAGGGAUUUUGGGGGAAAUUUAGGGAUUAGGGGAAAUGUAGAGAAUUGGGGAAAUCUUUUUUGGGGUUUUGCUGGAAAUGGCUAAACAUUUGGGAUAUCUGUUUUGGGAUUUUGGGGAAAAUGGCUAAGUGUCGGGCAUGACACAAGAAGAUGAAAUUUAAGAAAAAAAGACGACGUCGUUUUCAUAGUGUUUUUUGUGGCGUUUUUUAAAAAAACGCCACUAAUCUCUUAAUUUUCAUAUUUAUUUUUAUUUGUUAUAAUAGUGUUUUUUGUGGCGUUUUUUUAAAAAAUGCCACUAAUCUUUUAAUUUUCAUAUUUAUUUUUAUUUGUUAUAAUAGUAUUUUUUGUGGCGUUUUUUUUAAAAUGCACUAAUCUCUUAAUUUUCAUAUUUAUUUUUAUUUGUUAUAAUUUGGAAGCCAUAAUAAUUAAUUAAUGAUAGUCAAUAUUUAAUAAUAUAUAUAUAAAGUUUAUCUAUUAUCUCUUAAAUAAUUUAAACUAUAAUUAUAAUUUUAAUAUAUUAAGAUUAAUAUUAUUUCUUUUACAAUUAUAUAAGAAAUCAUUUAAUAUAUAAAUUAAAUAAUACUAAUUAAUCUAAACCCUAAACCUCUAACCUUUACCCCUAAAUCUUAAAUCAUAAAUCCUAAACCCCAAACCCAUAACCCAUAUCUCUUAACACUUAAAACCUAAACCCUUAACACAUAACCCCUAAACUUUAAACCCUAACACAUAAUCCAUAAACCUUAAAAUAUUAACUCAUAAACCAUAAACCCCUAACCCCAAUCCCCUUAACGCCUAACCCUUAUCCCCUUAACGCCUAACCCCUAUCCCCUUAAAACCUAUUUUGGUGUAAUGUAUCUCUUUUACAAUUAUAUAAGAAAUUAGUUAAUAUAUAAAUUAAAAAAUACUAAUUAAUCUAAACCCUAAACCUCUUAACCCCUAUCCCAUAAACACUAAACUCUAAACCCUUAACCUUUAACCCUUAACCCCAAACUCUUACACCUUAAACUCUAACCCUAACCAUUAAGCCCUAAUUAAUCAUAAUCCCUAAACCCAUAAUUCAUCAUAAACCUUCAAAUACUAGUUAACUCUUAAACCUUAAACCCUAAACUAUAUAUCUUAAAUCAUAGUUAACUCAUAAACCUUAAACCCUAAACCAUAUAUCUUAAACCAUAAACUAUAAACUAUAAUGAUAAUUAAUUCGAUAUUUUAAAUUCAAUACUAUCUCUUUUACGAUUAUAUAAGAAAAUAUUUAAUAUAUUGUAUAACCAUAAAUUUUAAUAAUUAUUGUUUUAGGGGUUAUAGAUUAGUGUUUAUGAUUUUUUUGGGUUUAGGGGUUAUAUGACUUUUAGCGGCGUUUUUCCAAAAGCGCCGUUAAUGCUCUGGUUUUUAGCGGCGUUUUGCCAAAAGCGCCGCUAAUGCUCUAUUUUUCGCGGCAUUUUUUACUAAAACGCCGCUAUUGCUCUGGUUUUUGUGGCGUUUUUGGUAAAACGCCGCUAUUGCUAUGUGUUUUACAAUUUUUGCGGCGUUUUUUGAUAAAAUGCCUCUAAAAACGCCGCUAAAGCCCUAUUUUCCUGUAGUGAAUAUUCACAUAAGUAGAUAGUGAAAAUUAUGGAUAAUGUUACCUAUAAGUGUGUUGUUUAUACUAAGGAUGUGGAUGGAGAGGAGGAGGAGGAAAAUAUACAAAAAUAUAUGAAUGAGUCGUGUAUAAAUUGAUCACAUGCCUGAUUAUAAUCGAUAAGUGUUGGAUUAGAAAUGAUAUAAUGUUUUAUUUGGUAUAUUUAUUAUGAAAUUAUGAUUAUCAUUAUAAUACAAAAAUUGAACUUGUGAGUUUAUAUGGAUAAAUUUUAGUGAUUAUUUGUUAAUUUUAUGAAUUUCAUGAUGUGUUAUUUCAUAUGUGUUGAUGAUAAAAUCGUGAAUAAUGUAAAAGCAUCAAAAUUGAAUAAAUGAUCAAAUUGAGCAUUUCAGUUCAGUGACAAGAUGAAUUGAAGGAAAAGACCAUGGUUGGACCAUGGCAACAAGUGAUAAGUGAUAGCUUCGGCUACACUUAUCUGAUCAAGGAAAAGUGAAAGUGAUAAGUGAUAGCUUCGGCUACACUUAUCAAAUCAAUGACAAAUGACAAGUGAAAAGUGGUAGCUUCAGCUACCUGAUCAGUGAAAAGUGGUAGCUUCUGCUACCUGAUCAGUGAAAAGUGGUAGUUCCGGCUACCUGAUCAGUGAAAAGUGGUAGCUCCGGCAACCUGAUCUGUGAAAAUGGUAGCUCCGGCUACCUGAUUAGUGAAUAGUGGUAGCUUCAGCUAUAAGUGACAAGUGACAAGUGAUUUCCGUAUAAGACCAUAUCUGGGAUAUGGCAUCGGUGUAAUAUAUGCUACUGUAUAAGACCAUAUCUGGGAUAUGGCAUCAGUGAGAUAUGUGAUUUGUGUAAGACCAUAGCUGGGCUAUGACAUCGAUAUAUGAAGAUGUGUAAGACCAUAGUUGAACUAUGACAUCGAGUAAACGAAGUACUCAAUUUUGUAAGACGUUCACUAAUUUGACAAAGUUUGGUAAGUGUUACAUGGAAUUAUGUGAUAUUGGAAGUACGAGUUGAUAAGAUAUGAGUAUCGAACUUGGUUGAUAAAUGAAUUUAUUUUGUGAUUAUAUAAUUGUUCAUCUUGAAUGUACUGUCCAUAUGUAUUGAUAAUUCAAACGUAUUAAUGAAUAAAGUUCCAACAUGGAAUAAAUUGAACACGAGACAAAUAAUUAUGAAAUUGAACUCGGAAUUCAUGAAAAUGAUGGUUAUUGAUAUAUGGAGACAUGAGACAUUGGUAUAUGAAUAUGGAAAAUAUUUGAUAAAUGUGUUUAUUCAUAAUUAUGGAAUUAUAUACCUCAUGUGUACUAUUUGCAUAAAGAUGAUAUUUCAAAUACUCUGGUUAUUUAAGCUUAAAUAUGAAACAGUAUGAAAUCAAGAUAAGUUGUUAUAAAAAUAUAUUUAGAUUACAGAGAUAUGGCGAUAUAUGUUGUAUGAUUACAUAACGUAAAAUUGUGUAUAUAUAUGAGAAACUUAAUGAGAAAUGAGCCCAUACACGUUUCUUGUUAUUUAUAUGAAGUGUACGACUGACAAGGGUGAUGAAGUUAUAAACAGAGAGUUACACGGGUUGAAAACACGGGCGUGUGACUCUCCAAAGUGUGAAAAUUUUCUAAGUGUUGCAAAAGUUUCAUAUGUUUACGGUUUGGUCUCGAACCACCCUGAAUGUAUGUUUUGGGCCCCAUAGGCCCAUAUAAAGGACGUUAAACAUAUGUAUGAAAGUUUUUAAUUUAGAAGAAAUUUUAUGGCUAAUUUUUACAUGAUUGAUCAUAUUAAGUUCGGUAAUGCCUCGUACCCUAUUCUAGGCUCGGAAUACUGGUAGGGGGUGUUACACAUUCACUUUGACAUUAAGAACACUCAUACUGUCAAUUUCAUGUCAAAACUGAAGUGGUACAUGACAAUUGGGCACCCUUCCAUCUAACGAAUCUCCAAUUUAAAUAUAUUACUAACUUUGAAGUUACUAAAACCUUAAAAUGGACUUCAAGUUAAACCAAAACAAAUGGUGCACGUGGCAAACAUUGUAAUAACCCGAAUUUUACGGUUAUCAGAAAAGUGUAUUUUCAAGUCUCCGUUACUAAAAAAUGGAUCCGUAAAUAUUUAUCAAAAAUAUUUAAAAAGUUAAUUGAGUGGUUAAUUAGAGUUUAAUUAAGUGAAUUUAGCUUAAUUAAGGAUAAUUGGAUAAAAGGAUUAAAUUGAAUAAUGUGUGAAAGUUUAAUUGUAGAUUAAAAGAAAAUAAAAAGGACCAAAAUGAAAAUUAUGCCAUUUAGCAUAAGUGAGACGGCAUAUAAAGUAAAAAUCUAAGAUUUUUACUUAGAUUUUAAUUAUAAUAUAUAUAUUUAUUAGUAAUAAAUGAUAUUAAAUUAAUUUAUUAUAAUUAUAUUAUAAGAUAUUUAUAUGAUAAAUAAAUUAGUAUAAAGACAAAUGUAUAGUAAAUAAAAUAUACAAGUGUGUGGAUAAAAAUACAUACAUUUGUAAUACAUGUAUUAGAUAUUAAAAAAUAUUUAUUAUUUUAUAAAAUAUAUUUAUUAAUUAAAUAAUUAUAUUAUAAGAUUUUAUAUCAUAAAUAUAUUAAAUAAUGACAAAUGUAUAGUUAUAAAUAAAUACAAAUAUGCUAAUAAUAUACACAUGAAUAAAUAAAUAAUACUUAUUAUUUAAGUAUAAAUACAUAUGUGUGUAUAUAUAUAUAAAAGGGAAAUAAAGAAAAAAAAGAGGAUAGAAAUGAAGAAACAAAGCAAACGAAACAAAGAGAAGGGGAAGGAAAGAAAAAAAAAGAGAAAAGAAAGAAGAAAAGAGAAAAUUUAAGGUGUGAAGCUUGAAAAUUUAAUAGGUAAGUCAAUUUAGCCCUUUUUACUUAAUUUUGAUGUUUUAGAAGCUUUGGAAUAAGAUUUUGAUGAAAUUAAGUUUAUAUUUUGAAAGUUAUUAAAUUUCUAGAUAAUGUUCAUGUUGAGUAAAAUGAUGAAAUAAGGGUUAAAUUGAUAGAAAUUCAAGUUAGAAAUGAAAUAAGGAUUGAAUUGUAAAGUAAUUCAUAAGUUUUAUGUUGAAGGGCUAAUUUGAGGAAAUUUCGAAACUAGUUAAAUAGGCUGAAAAUUUAGUAGUUAAAUUUGAGUUGGGAUGGAACUUGAAUAGAAAUAGAGUAUGAAUUAAGUUAGUAAAGUGAAUGAAUUAGUUAGGACCUAAUUGUGAAAAUGUUUGGAAUUAAAGUCUAGUGCUGAAAUUAUGAUUUCCAAAAGUUGUAAAGUAGUUUAAAGUGAUAGAAUAAAGUUUUAAUUGAGAAAAAUCAGCUCAAUUGAGAGGCUAAUUGAGUAGGGAUGAAAUUGUUAUUUAUUAAAGCUUAAGGGAAAAAUGGCAAUAAACAGCUUGCACUAAAACAAUAUUGGACAGCAGCAGUAGACUAACUUUGAAAAAUCACCAUAAAUUGUAGAAAUCGAAUUAGAAUAUGAUCAAAGUAUGAAAUUAAAGCUUAUUGAGUCUAGUUUCUCAUAGUAGAAAUAGUGUAAGUAAUGGAUUUCUAAAUAAUGAGAUAUAAUGAAUUUUGUGAGAUAAUGUCAGAAUGAAUUCGGGUUCCCUUGUUCUGACUUUGGAAAUUCAUCAAAAUUUGGAUAAAAAUAAUUAUGGGCUUAAAUUUAUAUAUUUAGAAUUCUGAAUGAGUCUAUUUUCAAUAUAAAUAAACAGGAAUAUCAUUCUAAUUCCGUACGAGAAGAUAAUUAAUUUUUAGUGAAGAAGGGUCAGAACUGUCAAACAGCAGAAUAGGGGUAACUUUAAAGAAUAAACUGUACUUAUUGGCUAAACCAAAAAUUCUGAAAAUUUUAUGAUAAGAAGAUAUAUGAGUCUAGUUUUAGGUAAAAUUAUUGGAUCUUAAUUUUGAGUUCUAUAGCUCCAGAUAUAAAUAAUUUAGUGACUAUGACACAAAUGGACAACUUGAAUAUUCAUAAAAGUAAAUAAUAAAAAUUAUAGAUGAUGUUACUUACAAGUGUGUUAUAUACAUUAAGGAUGUAGAAUGGAGAGGAGGAGGAGGAAAAUAUAUAUGAAUUUGAAUAUCCAGCUAGCAUGGCUAAUUUGCAUGUUUUAGGCUUAAGGACUAAAUUGGAUAAAAGUAAAACUUCAGGGGGUAAUUUUGUAAAAAUGUCAAAAAUGACCAAAUUGAAGGGAAUGAAUUGUUUUAUUAUCUAAAUUAAUAAAUUGAAUGAAAUUUUAAAUUUAAGAUCGAGUGAAAAUCGGGAAAAUGGUAAAUUACCAAAAUGCCCCUAAAUCUUGAUAUUUCUGCAAUUUCGCUAGGUAAGUUCAUGUAACUUGAAUUAUAUUCUUAAAUGCUUGAGAUUGUAUGUUAUUGAUGUGAAUAUGAUUUGAAUGUUCGUUGUAUGAAAAUUAAUGAAACAUUGAUAUAUUUGAUAAAAUGGGAAGAAAUCCCGGUUGAAUGAAAGGAAAAUUCGAUAGAUCUCUAAAAAGGAAUUGACGGUAAAAAAGGAUCUAGCCCGUAAGGGUGAUCCUAUCCUGAUAUAGCCCUCCCGAAGAAUAUGUGGAAAAUGGAUUUAGCCCGGACGGGUAAUCCGAAUUAGGUUCUGAAUUUAGCCUGGACUGGUAAUUCAGAUCCAAGCUCGUUAGAGUAAUUGCCGUUGCAGGAGAUUUAGCCUGGACUGGUAAUCCCACUGUAAGGAUGAGGUUCGCGGGAGUGUGCUCUCUGAAAUGAAAUGUGUAAGACCAUGGUUGAAAGAUACCAUGGCAACCUGAUAUAAAAUGUGUAAGACCAUGGUUGAAAGAUACCAUGGCAACGUGACAUGAAAUGAAUAAGACCAUGGUUGAAAGAUACCAUGGCAACAUGAUGGGAAAAUGAAUAAAACCAUGGUUGAAAGAUGCCAUGGCAACAUGAUAGAAAACGAGCAAAACCAUAGUUGAAAGAUAUUAUGGCAUCAUGACGAAGAUAAAUAAGAUCGUGGAAGAGAGACGCCAAGAUAUCUAUUGAACAACUAAUAUUCAGGUAAUAUGUACCAGAUGACAAAUGGUUAUAUGAAUUGGUUAUACAAAAUGGUUGUGUGAAAUGUUUACAGGAAUUGGUCAUAUGGAAAUAUAUGUACAAAAUAGUUGUAUGAAAUAAUUAAGAAGAUAGAUAAAUGAAAUAAGUAUAGGUACAUGGAAUUUAAUUUAUGUUAAGUUUAAUACGAACUAUUACCGAAAUAAAUAUACAUAAGAUAUAAGGAAAUGAUGGUGCAUGAAAUAUUGAUAUAACGAAAUGAAUGAUAUAUACUUAUGAAGAAACUGUAAGAGAAUAAUAUAUUUUGUGACAUGUACAUAUAUAAUUAUCUUUGAUAUGUUGAUACAAGAAAAUUAUGUAAGUUGAGACUAUUAUUAAACUCAAGUGUGAUAAGUUGAGAAAAUAGGUAUAUCAAUGUUGAAUUUAUAUGAAAUAUGUGCAACUAUACUAACAAUGUUGUUGUUUGACGCUUAGACAAGUGCCAAGCUAUUGAUUGAAUGGUAACAUGUUUAAUUAUAAGGAGCAUUGAAAUGGUAAGUACUGAGAUGAAAAUAUAAUUUAAGAUUUUGCGAAUUUUUUUUUAUGAUCCUAAUUUUAUUCCGGUUGGUUUCUAAUGUAUGUUUUGGGCUUCGAAGGCCCAAUAAAAAGACGUUAUGAUUAUUUUCAAAAUAUGAAUAAUAAAUGACUCAGAAUUAUCUGAAAAUGUUCAGUAAACCCUGGUAAUGCCUCGUACCCUAUUCCGGUAAUGGAUACGGGUAGGGGUGUUACAAACAUCAUCCCUUGCUAAAUGCUUUCUAGGUGUUGGUAGCAUCUGUGUCUUUCAGCUAAUUAAGAUACUAAAUUGACAUUACCAAAUGAAGGGAUUUAUAAAGCUAACAGAGGUCAAGUUAAUAACACUAGAUGAGAAUUGCGUUAUAAGAAAUAACCCAUUUUUCCUAAAUCAUAAAAAAAUGAACCCAUCUUUCUAAACCCCAAAUUUUGAGUGGAGGAAUUGUAACGGCACAAAAAUUUCAGUGAUAUCAGAAUAGUGAUUUGAGAUCACUAAAUCCGACAUGUGAGUUUAGAUAUUAGUAAGUAAAAGUUAAGUGUGGUUUUAGAAAUAAUUUUGAAUUAGUGAAAUUAUGAAUUAAAAGAAAUUUGUAGAUUAAAAGAGAUAAAAACGAAGAUCGAGACCUCAAAUUCAUGAACUGAGCCAUAAAUAUUUUUAGAAAUAUUUAUGGAGUGUUAGUAAGUUAGUAUUAAAGUUUCAUUAAGAAAUUUUAAGGUUUUGGUAGUCAAUUGGGUAAAAAGGACUAAAUUGAAUUAAGUGCAAAAUUUUGAAAUGUGACUAAAUAGCUCUAGUAAUAAUUAAAGGAGAACUAAAUAGGCAAUUAAACACCUAUUUUUGGGCUGGACGUAUGAGUGUGCAGGAAAAAUAAAAACCAAAUGUGAACAAGGGGCAAAAUUGGAAAUAGAGUAAAAAUUAAAUUGUAAAAUAUGAUAUAUUAGGUAAAAUCUAGAGUUUUCUUCAUUUUUCUUUAUCCUCUCCAGCAAAAACACCAUUGAAGGGUUCUUUUAAGCUGGUCUCUCAUUUUUUUACUACAUGUAAGCUCAAUUCUUGAUUAUUUCUUGUAAAUUUUGUGUUUUCGAGACUUUUACAACUAGGUCCACUUGUUUAAUUCAUUACUUUUUGAAUUCAUGGGUAAUUUUGAAAGUUUCCAUGAAUAAGCUCUGAAAUUUUAUAAUGAUUUAUCAUGGAAUUAAGGUUUUAAUUUCAUUAUAUGAUGAUUUUAUGAAGAGAUUUGCAUAAAAAUUUAUUUUAGGACCUAAUUGUGAAAAUUGUUGGAAUUAGGGUUUUGUGUUGAAGCUUGGAAUGUCAAAGAUUGUGAAGUAGUUUUUAGAGUUUAGAUAAAAUGAUAUUUGAAAGGAGUUAGUUUAAUUUAUGAAUGAAUUGAGCAGGGACCAAAUUGUAAAAAUUGAACAGUUUGGGGUAAUUGUGUAAUUUUAAAAAUUAAGGGCAUAAAUUGUGAAAUAGAAUGGAAUUUAAAUAGAUGCUAAUGAAGGAAUGAUUUUAUAAUUAUAGAUCAAGAAAACGAAGUGAAUCGUGGAAAGGAGAAAAUUUAAGAAUAGUCCCUGAAUUUCUAUGACUUUUGCAAAUUAGCCCAGGUAAGUUCAUAUGGCAAAAAUUUCAAUGUUUGAUAUGAAAAUCUUAUGAUUGUUAAAGUAUUUUAUUGUAGAUGUAAACUAUCAAAUAAUAGUAAUUAAUAAAUCAUGUAUGACUAAAAAAACAAAUUAAUUGGAACAAUGGUUUUGAGUGCUUUCAUUUUAUAACCAUAAUGAAUUGAAGGAAAAGAUGUGAUAUGUACUUCCGUAUAAGACCAUAGCUAGGCUAUGGCAUCGGUACAAUGUGAUAAUGUGAUUUCGUAUAAGACCAUAUCUGGGAUAUGGCAUCGGUAUGAUAUGUGAUCCGUAUAAGACCAUGACAGGGCUAUGGCUUCGGUGUGUGAUGUGUGACAAUGAGAAAGUCCAUAGUUUACUAUGGCAAUGUGAUAAUAAAGCACUCAAUUCCAUUAAUGUUCCCUAAUUUGACAAUGGAAAUAAAUAAGAAAUUGUAGCGACGUAAAUUUUUUUUGCUUUCGGUCGCUAGUUGAGUCAAUUUAUUGAAAAUUUGAAAAUCGACUUUACAUUUAAAAAAAAAAAGGGGAGUCACCACCAAUCUUUUUUCCUAGGUGUGAUCGGACACCUAAUAAAUCCUUUUCUUUUAAAAGAAAAUUCAUUUUUUAAAUAAAAAGAAGGCCGAAUUUAAGUUUACGUCAAAAACCAAAGUAAAGUUGGGUUCGAGAGUCGGUUACGUGCGAGGAAGGUAUUAUCACCCUCGCAACACCCAAAAUUGGUAUCUUUAUUAAACAGGUGUUGUCUUGAUUUUCAAAAAUACGAAUUCAAUUUGACAUUUAAUCGUGAUCCGAUUGAAAAAUGAGAAUUUUUAGUUUUCGAUUUUUUUAGAAGGGUGUCCACUUUUAACACGAGCCGACGAAUUUCACCCAACAUAGCGAUGAAAUCGAUGACUUAAUGUUAAAUCGGUUCGUUGCCUUAUUUAUUGAAAUUAGUAAAAAACAUGAAUAAAAAUCUUUAAAGUAGUGAACAGCAAAAUGAUAUAAAAUGGGCGGGAAACAAAAAAUAAAAGAGUUAGAAAUACAUCGAAGCAAAUAAUAAAUAUGACAAUAAUAUUAAAAAUAAUGUCAAUAUAUACGAUAUUAAACAUGAUAAUAAUAGUAUUAAACACGAAAUAGAGACGAACAUAUAUAUAAACAUAUAAUAAUAAUAAGUGAAGUGACGUAAACAUAAUAUUAAAAAUACUAAUAGUGCUAUAUAUAUAUUAAAGUAUAUACGUAAUACUAGGAAUGAACAGUGUAUACAUAAUAAUACUAAAUAUAUAUAUACAUAAUAUAUAUAAAGUGAACAUAUACAAUAUAUAUUAGAAAUACUAAUAACAUAAAAAUAUAUAUAUUAAUAAUACUACAUAAAUAUGUACAUAUAUAUUAAAAUAAAUACAUAAUAAUAUUAAAAUAAAAUAAUAAGUGACAAUAGUGGAAAUAGUAAGUAUAAUAAUAAAUAUAACGAUAUAUGAAAAUAAUACUAUAUAUGAAAAGUAUAUAUAUACCCAUAUAAUAAAAUAUAUGUACUAAUAUUAAUAAUAAAUAUAAUAGGGAUAAAAUAGAUAUAAUAAUAUAUACAUAAUAUGGUAUUAAAUAUAUAUAUAUAUAUAUAACAUAGUAUUCAAGAAUAUGUACAUGAGAUGAUAUAAAAAUAUAUACAUGGAAUAGUAAAAGAAAUAUAUAACAAAUAACAUUAAAAAUAUAUAUAAUAUAUAUAAAAUAUAUACAAUAUAUACAUAUAUUUAGAAAUGAUAAUAAUAUAUAAAAAAAACUAUUCAUAUGCUACAUAAAUACGUACAUAUAUAUAUAAAUAAUAAUGGUGUUAGAAAUAUAUAAUAUAAUAUUAGAAAUAUACAUACAAUAGUAUAAAAGAUAUAUAACUAAUAAUAUUAAAAUAUAUACAUAAUAAUAUAUAAAAAAUAUAUAUAAUAUAAUAUUAAAAUAUUUACAUAAUAUAUACAUAUUAAAAAUAAAAAACGACUAAUAAUAAUGCUACAUAAAUAUAUACAUACAUAAUAAAACAUAUAAUAAUAAUAAUAAUAAUGAUGAUGAUAUAAAUAAUGGUAAAUAAAAUAAUAUUAAAUAAUAUUAAAAGUAAUCAAUUCAAUAAUAAGAUAAUGAAAAUAAACAAAAAGGACUAAAAUCGAACUAAAAAUAGAGUUUGAGGGAAAAUCUGAAAUAAAAAAGAAGAGAAAAUGACCUAUUUCAACACGUACAAAUAGUGGAGGGACUAAAAACGAAAUAAACCCCUCCAACACAAAACACGCAGUAGCAUUGAAGACCAGAUUGGAAAGUAUAACAAAUUAUAGGGCCAAAUUAAAAUACAAAGAAAAUUUGAUUGUAAAAGCUUGAAAAAGAGGAAAGGCUAAAUGCGCAAAUAGCCCUUCUGUAAUAAAAACACGCGGAUCCUAGCGGGUCAAAGUCGGAUUGGGUCGGGCAGAGUGAAAUGAAGUCGUUUUGGGGCUUAUGGGUGCCGACCAAAACAACGUCGUUUUGUAACAUCUAUAUAAGUUAAAGUUUUUGUUUUUGAAAUCAUUUGUUAUCUGUUUCUAAAAAAAACUAAACUUUUUGUUUGUUUUCUCUGCAGGUCUAGGUUCCGACGAUGUCCCUGGUCGAUCGCCACCGCCGAUUGCUGUCGCCAGCCACUACGGUGGCUGGAAAGUCGAAAAGGUGUAUUUUUUUGUUUUUGUUUUUUUUAUAUUUUUAAUAUAUGUAUAUGUGGGAAAAUGGACCCAAAAAAAAGAAUAAAUUAAAAAAAUCACCUUAAGUUUUGGUUGUCCAAUUUGGUGUUGUUCUGGUGUUUUUUUGAUUUUCUUCGGAUCACUGCUUGUAUGUGUGUUAAAAUUAUUUUUGCAUUGAUGAAAAAAUGGCCAAACAGAUCCAGCCGAACCAGCUAAAUGAUCUCGGUCUUUGGCUUUUUAAAAGGUCGUUUACAUUAUUCUUUAUUACUUUCUGUCCUUUCUCUAUUUAAUUUUUGCAGGUAGAUGGGCGGUGCUGACACAGGCUGUGGAGCAGGUGGUGGCAGACGUCGGCGGUGGAUGGGACAAGGGCAGAACUAGGUGCGACGCACCUAGGGUUUCUUUUGUUAUUUUUUUUAUUUGUUAGUUGGGCUAAAUAGGUUAGGGUUAGGCAUUGUGUAACACCCCUAACCCGUAUCCGCUGCCAGAAUAGGGUUUCGGAGCAUUACUACCAUUUGCAGAUCACUUAAAAAAAUUAAAAUACUUACCGAUUCAAUGCAUCAUAUAAAAUAAAUAUAUUACCAUUCAAUCAACAGUUUGGCACUUGUAUAAGCAUCAAACAAUAAUAUUGUUAGUAUACUUGCACAUAUCUCAUAUAAAUUCAACAUUGAUAUAUCUAUUUUCUCGACAUGUCGCACUUGAGUUUAAUAAUAGUCUCAAUUACAUAAUUUCCUUGUAUCAACAUAUCAAAGAUAAUCAUAUAUGUACAUGUCAUGAAACAUAUCAUGCUCUUACCGUUUCUUCACAAGCAUAUAUCAUUCAUUUCAUUAUAUCAAUAUUUUAUGCUUCAUCAUUUCCAUAUAUUUUAUGUAUAUUUAUUCUGGUAAUAGCUUAUAUCGAACUUAACAUAAAUUAUAUUCCAUGUACUUAUACUUAUUUCGUUUAUCCAUUUUCAUAAUUAUUUCAUACAACACUUUUGUGCAUAUAUUUCCAUAUGACCAGUUCUUGUAAACAUUUCACACAACCAUUUCAUAUAACCAUUCGUCAUCUGAUACAUUUUACCUGAAUAUUAAUUGUUCAACAGAUGUUAUAGCAUCUCCUAUCCACGGUCUUAUUUAUCUUUGACGUAAUGCCAUAGUGUCUUUCAACUAUGGUCUUACUCAUUUUCUGUCAUGUUGCCAUGGUAUCUUUCAACCAAGGUCUUAUUCUUUUCAUGUCACGUUGCCAUGGUAUCUCUCAACCAUGGUCUUACACAUCUCAUAUCAGGUUGCCAUGGUAUCUUUCAACCAUGGUCUUACACAUUUCAUAUCAGGUUGCCAUGGUAUCUUUCAACCAUGGUCUUACACACAGGUUGCCAUGGUAUCUUUCAACCAUGGUCUUACACAUUUCAUAUCAGGUUGCCAUGGUAUCUUUCAACCAUGGUCUUACACACAGGUUGCCAUGGUAUCUUUCAACCAUGGUCUUACACAUUUCAUAUCAGAGAGCACACUCCCGCGAACCUCAUCCUUACAGUGGGAUUACCAGUCCAGGAUAAAUCCCCUGUAAUAUAAACUCAUAGAGUAUUGUCGGGAUUACCAGUCCAGGCUAAAUCCCCUGCAACGACAAUUACUCUAAUGAGCUUGGAUCUGAAUUACCAGUCCAGGCUAAAUUCAGACCUUAAUUCGGAUUACCCGUCCGGGCUAAAUCCGUUUUACACAUAUUCUUCGGGAGGGCUAUAUCAGGAUAGGAUCACCCGUCCGGGCUAGAUCCUUUUUACCGUCAAUUCCUUUUCAGAGAUCCAUCGAAUUUUUCUUUCAUUCAAUCGGGAUUUCUUCUCCUUUUAUCAAAUUUAUCAAUGUUUCAUAAAUUUUCAUACAAUGAAUAUUCAAAUCAUAUUCACAUAAAUAACAUACAAUCUCAAGCAUUUAAGAAUAUAAUUCAAGUUACACGAACUUACCUCAUUGCUUGUUUGUGUUUAUAAUUUCAUUAAUCUGAUAUCUUUUCUUUUCCACGAUCAAGUCUCAUAUUUGAGUCGUUCGGAUCUUUAUAAAUAAAUUUGAUCAUCAUUUUCAUUCAUUUCAUAUUCUAAUGCAUUUAAUUAACGCUCUAGGCAAAAUUACUAUUUUGCCCCUAAACUUUUAAUUAAUGACGAUUUCAUCCUUAGGGUCAGGAAAAUAAAAUUCUUUCAAUUUAAUCCUUAUUUCCAGCUAUUAUUCUCAUAUAUAUUGAUAAAAAUCCAUGAAUUCUAUAAAAUAUCAGAAUUUUUCAUAAUUUUAACACUUUUCAAUUUAAUCCCUAAAACAUGUUUUCCCUCGAUCUUGAACUAAAUUAAUAAUUUCAUUAAAUUUUGUAAUUUAAAUAAUAAAAUAAUCCAUUUCAUGCAAUUUGGUCAUUUCUGACAUGUUUACAAAAUUGCCCAUAAAGUUUUACUUUUAUUCAAUUUAGUCCCUGAGCCUAAAAUAUGCAAAUUAGCCAUGCUAGAUGAAUAUUCAUACAUAUUUUUCCUCCUCCUCCUCUCCAUUCCACAUACUUAAUGUAGAUAACACACUUGUAAGUAACAUUAUCCAUAAUUUUUAUUAUUUACUUUUAUGAAUAUUCAAGCUGUCUAUCUGCAUCACAGUCACUAAAUUAUUUAUAUCUGGAUCUAUAAAACUCAAAAUUAAUAUCCGAUAAUUUUUUCUGAAUCUAGACUCAUAUAUAUUCUUACCAUAAAAAUUUCAGAAUUUUUGGUUUAGCCAAUAAUUACAGUUUAUUCUUUAAAGUUACCCCUGUUCUGCUAUCUGACAGUUCUGACCCCUCUUCACCAAAAAUUAAUUAUCUCCUCAUACAGGAUUCAAAUGAUGUUCUUGUUUGUUUAUAUUAAAAAUAGACUCAUUCAUGAUUUUAGAAAUAUAAAUUUAAGCCCAUAAUUAUUUUUAUUCAAUUUUUUAUGAUUUUUCAAAGUCAGAACAGGGGAACCCGAAUUCAUUCUAACCUUAUCUCACAAAAUUCAUUAUAUCUCAGAAUUUAAAAAUUCAUUUCUUACACUAUUUCUUCUAUGAGAAACUAUACUCAAUAAGAUUUAAUUCCAUAUUUUUUUCAUCUUCUAAUUCGAUUUCUACAAUUUAUGGUGAUAUUUCAAAGUUAGUCUACUGCUGCUAUCCAAACUGUUUUUGUGCAAGCUAUUAAUUACCAUGUUAUAACACCCUUAUUUUCUUUUUCUACACCAUUUCUCAUCACUUUCUCUUAUUUUCUCUUCACUAACAUAUCAAAAACAUAGGACCUUAUGUAAGAAAACUCUACUAUAACAUUAUUUCCAUGCUUUGUCAAUAAUAACAAACUUAAAAACAUAUUGAAAUCUUGAUAUACUUACCUUGUUCUAUUGAUACUAAUCUUUAACUUAAUUUUCUCUCUCCUCCAGCUUCUAUUUCUUGAAUCCAACUUGAUAUUCUAACUCCCCAUGCUCUCCUUAACAUUUUUGUCUCUUGGUAGCUAUGGAAAUUCAUUUGAUUUUUGAGUGAAAAUGGUGAAUUUUUGGUAAAAGGACCAAAUUGUAAAGAAAGCAAAACUUUCUUUCUUCCUCUCUUUCUCUCACGUUAGUGCAUGGGAAAAUAUGGAUGAGAAUUUCUCAUCUUUCUUUCUUUAUAUACUAAUAAAAUAAUAAUAAAAUAUCUUAUUAAAGUAUUAAUAAAAUAAUAUUUAUCUAAUUAAAUAAUUAUAAAAUAUUAAAAUAUCUCUAGCAUCAUUAUUACUUUCUAGAUUUCUCUCUCUUCCAAUUGACUAUUUUGCCCUUCAUUAUCUUUUAAAAUUCCAUCCUUGAGUCAUCAUUUAAUUUGGUAAAAUUGCAAUUUAGUCCCUCAUAGUUCUUCAUCUAUUCAAUUUGGUCCUAAUUCAUUCAUUUUCCUUAGUUUCUAGAUCAUUCCACUCUUAAAUUAUUUACACUAUUGGUCCUUCAACUUUUUCAUAUUUACACUUUAACCCCUCAAAUUAUGAAUAUUUACUCUUGUGCAACAAAACUUUUCUCACUUUUACAAUUUAGUCCUUUCUUGAAUUAAUAUAUCAUAAUAUACUUCUCAAUAUUGACAUAACUCAAAAUUUCCCUUUUUGUCACUUUAUUUCCUUAUUUUACUAUAUCAAGGAUAAUAUCUUACUGUAAAAAUUUUCAGGGUAUUACACAUUGGGUUUUUUUGGGUUGUUAGGUUUAAAUUGGGCUGAUUAGUUUUGGGUUUGGGAUCUGUUUAGUUGGUUGAGUUUUAUUGGGUUGAUGUAAUUGGCUAUUAAUGGGAUUUUGAUGUAAACGGGCCAAAAUUGGCCUACAACAGAAAUGGGCCCAAAAGAAUUAAGUUCGUGAAUUGCAUCAUGAAAAUUAUUCAAAUGAGUUUAUUAAUGAAGUUGUGAUUUGCAGGAUGAAAUAGUUUAACUAAUACAUAUAUAAUUGUGUACAGUGUUCAAUAAGAUUUGUGUUAUUAUGCCUAUGAGCUUACUAAGCUUCUAUAAGCUUACUUGUGUAUGUGAUUUGUUUUGUAGAUUGACUUAUAUACAUACGGAGGAUCGAAUCUACAUCAAGGGUCACACUAUCCAGAUUUACUCCAGUAGAUUUUGUUAAACAACUUUUUGGUUUAUAUGGCAUGUAUAGGAGUUGAUUUGAUAAUGAAAUUGUGUGAAUGAUUAAGUAUGCAAAGCAUGUUGAAUGUGAUGUUUUAUGUUUGAAAAUGAAAUAUACAUGUUUUGGUUUAAAAUAAAUGAUUAGAUGGAUUUUAUUAGUGUAUAGUUGUGUUUAAGUAUAGGAAAUGGAUAAAUGAAUGUUAUUUGAUCAACAUUUUAUAACUCAAUGUUUUGGGCAUGAUCUAGGUUAUCUAGGUGUGUUUGAUAUGUGAAAACAGCUUAAAAAUGGUGAAAAAUGAGGUUUUCACACGGCCAAGUCACAUGGGCGUGUGCCCAGGCCGUAUGGAAAAGUCAGAAUCUGCCCAUGGGUAGGCCACACGGGUGUGUCCCAGGCCACACGGGCAUGUGCCCCUAUCUUCAAGGAAAAAAUUUCUAAAUUUGUCGUUUUAGUUCCGAAUCACUUCUAAAACAUAGUGGGCCCCGUAGACCCAUAUUAAGGACUUUAAGAUGAAAUUUGAUAAGAAUUGAUCUGGAAUGUAAAGCUUAUGACUCGGUUUUGUAUAAAUGUUAGUAUAUAAGUCCGGUAAUGCUUCGUAGCCCUAUUCCAGUGACGGCUUGGGGUUAGGAGGUGUUAUAGGAAUGGUGUGUAUUUUUUAUUUGGUUAUUUUCAUGGGAUAAAUAUGUAAAUUUAACCUUAAAUCUUAUAUAUUAGUGUUUAAAUUUAUAUUUAAGGAUUAAGAAAAUUUGUUAGGAUUUUGAGUUUAAAUAUUUUUGUUGCGUAAGAGAGGAAGAAGUGGCAAGUCACAUAUUUAUGGUAUUCCUGAUUAAACGAAUCCUAACAAAAUAUUCAAGUAACUCGACACCUGUGAGUGUUGAGGUCUAUUUUUUAAAUCAUCAAUUAUUCUUAUCAUCCAUUAGUGCACUUAUUAGGAAAAUCUUAGAACGUUAAAUAUCUCGACACCUGUGGGUGUCAAGUUUAGACCAAAAACAUUAAACCUUAGAAAGAGAAACCUAAUCUUAAAUCCUAACCCUAAUUUAAAGCCCUAAACUCGACACUUAAUGAUGCCAAAGUUUAAUCUUCUUUUUAGAGAUUCCUUUGACAUGGAUUCUCAAGAGGAGCAACAAUUUUAUAAGACAUGACAUGGAACUAGAUACUUGUGGGCGUUGAGUUCAGUGCAUAGUACAUCGUCAAUCAUGUUUUCGAGUUUAACAACAUCUUUUCUUUAUAAAUAUGCAUGAAAUUUUAUCCAUUUGUUAAUACCCCUAAACCAAUUAUCACUCUAAACCUUACCCCAUUUACCUUAAAUAAACCAUUCGAUAAAGUCUCAUUACAAUUAGUUUUCUUCAACUUGUUCAAGUUUUAGAUGCAAAAAAAAAACACAACAUAUAUGAUUGAGUGUACAAAAAGGUUAAUCAUUAAUAUGGUACGUGUAUUUAGGGACGAAGCCAAUAAUUCCAAAAUUAGGCCAAAAUAAAAUUUUAAAGUUUUGGGGUAAAGAUAAAUAUUUUGUUUAAAAAUUACUUAAAAGAUAAAUAUUAAGGGCUACACUCUUGCAUGUAUUACUUAUAUCACCUUUAUCAUGUUUAAAUAUACUAAUAUAUCAUCUUUUUUGCAUAGUGUCCGUCAUCAUCAAAUAUUUAAUGUUCAUGGGUAUUUAUAGCUCUUAAAUUUUAUUCUACUAUAAGAGUUAUUAACAAUUUUACAAAUUAAAUUGUGGAAUUAGUGAUGAAUAAAAAUUGAAUUGAUUUAAUUGAAAACUAAUGAUAAAAACUUAAUUUUAUUAAAAUGAUUUUUAAAUAAAUUUAUAUCCGGUUUACGAUUCAUGUUUCGAGUUUAUGACAUUCACUCUUAAUAAUAUUAUAUUCAAAAUUCAAAAUUCAAAAUAAAAUAAAAUUCAAAGUUUUAACCUCUUAUUAAGAGAAAUACAUGUUUUAUUAAUUAAUUACUACUUUUAAUAUUUGGUUUAUAUUUCAAUUGAUUAAUCAAGUUGGAUCAAUUGCUAAGACAAACUAAACUUUGACAAUGCCAAAUAUCCCACAUCACCAAGUACAACAAAAGCUUAGGCUUUAUACUAAGUCACUCUUAAACAGUCACGUGCCGAGCUAAGUAACAAGAGCUUAUAACCCAAGGUGGGGGCAUUAAGGUGGCUUGGGAAGAGAGAAAAUCGAACAACCAGUUAGCUUGGGAAGGGGUUUAGUGGGCCUUUGUUGGCUCAGCCAUGUGAGGGGGGUGAAAUUUCAGAGCAGCAAACGACUCCUGGCGGAUUAAACUGAGUCAAUACCCCUUCUAGCACCGUUGGCUCGCUCUUUCUCUAUCACCUCCAACCUUUUUCUUUAAAACACCAUUAUUCAUUUUUUCUUUCUUAGUCCUAGAAAAGAAAAAAAAUAUAACCUAAAUAUUGUAUAAUUUGAUUUUUUUUUCAGUUUUAUUUUAUUUGGGACAUUAAAUUUUUUGUAUAAUUUGAUUUUUUUUUUCAGUUUUAUUUUAUUUGGGACAUUAAAUUUUAGUUUUAAAAGAAUGGAGAAAGAUAAAAAAAAUAUUGUUUUAGAUUUUUAGAUUUUUUUUUAUUUUAGAUAUAUUUUCAAUUAAAUCUAGGUGAUAAAUUUUUUUUUUAGCUUUUUAAGUGAAAGGAGGGUCACAAAAAAAAGUAAAAUUAAAAAAAAAAUCAAAUUAUACAAAGUUAAUUUUUUUAAAACUUAAAUUAAAUCGACAUUGUAGACCCAAUUUUCAGCCCGGCCUAAACCACCAGGAACCUAAAACCAAAUACAAGCCAAUUAAAGCCCAAAUACCUACAUUUAAGUCCAAAUCACAGCCCAAAUCAAACACCUAAAACAAAAUUACAAACCAAGCCCAAUUACAUAAACCCCAACAGCCCAAAAAAAUAAUAAAAACAAAAACAAAAACACCAUCAGCCGUCACAACCCAGGGCAGUCUCCAGGCACCGCACGUCUCGCGCUUCCUCCGCGUCAUGCGCUGCUCCACCAUGCCACAUCAGUGAUGCACUCACGCACGUACCUGCAAACAAGCUAAAGAGGUUGUAAAAAUCGGCUAUAAAGCCAAACCGAACCAAGUGUAAGGGGGGGUCUUUUUUUUGGAGAAAAAUAGCAGAAUACACACAAAAGAGGAAUCAAUAAAAAAAUCAAACUCAAAAUUCUAAAGGUUACUUUACUUCUUCUUUGGGUCUUUUUUUUUGCUUUAUAUUUACGUUUCUUUUUUCUUUCUUAUUUAUUUAUUGGGUUUUAUGCAAAUAUAUUUGAAACAAGAAUUAAAGAGAAGGUUUACCUGGGUCUUAGUGAUUUAGAACCCGAAUGCCGGAGAAAUGUGAAGGUUCGGGCAGGGGAUUUCAUCCAUGGCUAUAACAGUGGCCUUCUUUCUCGCCGAAUUUGGCUCGUGUAGAGAGAUUUCUCUCUGUUUUUAAAAAUGAAUAAAGAGGGUGAUGCUUUAAAUUUUUGGGUGUACUAAAAGUUUUUUUAAGGUUAAAAUAAAAGGAAACAAAUAAGUUUCAGUGGGUAAGGAAACAAAUCAGCAUUGGGGAAUGGAAUUAGUGCGCCUUUUGGCCUGGGUCCACGCGCAUUGUACCUUCCAAUGGGUAAUUUCCGCAAUCAGGCCCCUCCUUUGCGUUAGUCUUCAAUCGGGCCAUGUUAAGUUUCUUAAAUUAUUUUAAUUUAUCCCUGUAACCUACGCACUAUUUCAAUUUGGCCCUCCCCUUUAGUGCAGUAUUUUAAGAUUUGGGGCAUUUUCAAUUUCAGACCUCGAACAUUUAUGCGCAUUUAAUUUUAGCCCAAAAUUCUGUUUUAAUAAUUUGUUUUACUUAUAAAUUAUCCCCUGGAUUUUGUUUUUUCCUCUCAAUUAAAUUUCAGUUAUUUCUUUAGAAUAAUUAUGUUUCAACAUAUUAUUUUGAUUUCAUACUUUUGUGAUUUUUUUUUCAUGUGCGUACCUGUUUAUAUGGAAUACCUUUAUAUAUUAUUAUUACUACUAUAUGUAUUAUUUAUAUUAAGCUUUUCCUGUGUAUAUAUUACUUUAUAUAUUAUUUACUUUUAAUCUUUUAUGCAUAUUUUUUUUUUGGAAUUUCAUUUACGCUACAUAUUUUUUUUCCUUAUUUUUUUUAUUUUGAUACAAUUCAAGCUUUCAUUCAAAUUAUUUACUUUAUAAUAUUUAUUUUAAAAAUUCAUUUGUACAUUACCAUUUGAUAAAUUAUUUCUUUUAUUUUUUUCCCUAUUUUUUUAAAAUUCCUAUAUUUAUUACCUAUUUAGAAUUUUCUUAUAGUUUAUAUAGUUAUAUUUCCAAAUUUUCCUUUUCCUAUUAUUUAUUUUAUUUUAUUUAAAAAAAACUUGUUAUAUUUUAUUUGGGUGAUUUAUUUGAAACUUCUUUUAAAAUUGGUUUCUUAUGCAUUGACUCUUGGACAUAAAUGGUGGUAUUUUUAUAAUAUAUGAUGUGCUGUUAUUGCAUGUAUUCUAAGUUGUUCCUUUGCAUUUCCCUAUUAUUUUAGAUUAUUCAUGAGAUGUUAUUGCCAUGUGUUUUAUUCCUUAUGUUAUCAAGUUUUUUUUAUAAAAAUACAUUUCAUUUAUUUAUUACAUUUCAUUUGAAAUUUUAAAUAAGGCAACGUUCAGUAUUUGAAGAAUUUAAAGGAUCGUGCCCUAACGUACUGGGUUUCGCUUUCUUUGUUUGUUUUGAAUAUUCCGAAUAUCCUUUUAAAGCUAAAACGCACAUUUUAAAGGCAAUAUCACAUUUGAGGGUCGAAAAUGUUGUGUCCUAACGUACUGGAUGUAAUGUUUUACCUCAAGAUGAGAUAGUCUUUAAUACACAUUUGACUUGCCUAAAUGUUUUAAAAGCCAAUAAAAGGAGGAUCGCAUUUUGAACUCUAUUCAAAUUUUUAAUUUUCGGCAUUUAAGACACUAAUUAAUUGAUUAAGUACCAAUUUUGGGCGUGUCGAGGGUGCUAACCCUUCCUCGUACGUAACCGACUCCUGAACCUGUUUUCUUAAAAUUCGUAGACCAAAAUGUUUUAUAAGGUGGCCCAAUUACACCUCAAAAAGGAUUAGUGGCGACUUCCAAUUUUCGUUUUCAAAAGUCGAUUCCCGUUUUUCAAAAAAUGGUUUCGACAGCUUGGCGACUCCACUGGGGACCAAUAAGAGAGUCGAGCUGUAAAUUGAUUAUUUUCUGUCUUUUUGUUGAAAUUUAGAAAUUUAGUUUUCCUAAAAAUACACGAUCAUCGCUUUGUAUUUUCUGUGCCAUUGUUGAGUUUGUUUUUUUCCGUUGAAUUUCUUUAUAUACUCUCGUAUCAUAUCGCAUGACCGUUGUGGUCACACCUUUUAAGUGGGAGUGAGAAACUAUGCUUUUGUGAGGUUUUCACCUCCGCAUGGGCUAGGGGAUCGCUUCCGGAAUACAUCUGUACUUAUGUCUUCGUGAGGUUUUCAUCUCCGCAUGGACAUAAGGAAAUGUAUUCCCCUGAACCAAACUUGAUCCAUAUGAACCUAUAAUGGGUGAGGAUCGAGGAAUCUGCUAGUUCAAGUACUUUUACUCUAGAACUAAACCACAUAUAGUGAGCUGUAGGAACCCGCCUUAGGUAGAAUUACAGCUAGCCUUAGUGGUUGCCCGAAUAGGCGUUUGAUAAUUUCUUGAUUGCUUUGAUUUCUAUUCUUAUGCAUGAUUCUGACUUGUGUUUUUCCUUCUUUCUUUAAUAGUGAUUGCAUAACAUUUUCAUCAUAAAAGGGAGGUGUCGAUAUACGGUUCGGUUACUAAUAGAAAGUUUUGCCAUGAAGAACGAAUUCUUUGAUAAAGUGAAAGACAACGCGUUUGUCCAAAGAUGGUCGGAGAAUGCACAGUUAGAAAAAGGUGACAGUUUGACAGAGGGGUACACGUCGGAGUUAUGGGACUUUACCCGUAUUAGUGUGGUUCAGAAUGAUCUUUAAGAGUUGAAAGAAUUAUGGAGUCACUGGGAUGAGGAGAUGAAGCAACUACUCUACUGUAAUUAUGGUGAUAUUCCUUAUCUCCUCGAUGUUAAGGUAGAUAGGUAUUUGUUCCGCACCAUGGCUCAAUUUUAGAAUUCCGCCUACAGUUAUUUUACUUUUGGAAAGGUGGAUCUAGCACCUACUGUCGAGGAAUAUACAGCCUUGCUUCGUUGUCUGAGGUUUCAAGUUGAUAAGAUUUAUUCUAGAGCUGUCAAUACCCCAACCUUUGUAAAGAGGUUGAUGAAUAUCACUGGGAUGAGUGAGCAGUGGGUUGCAGCUCGAGUCCAGCAGAAAGGCAGUGGAAAGUGCAUCCCUUGGGAGAAUUUGAGAGAGUUGAUCCUGACACACCUUGAUAUGAAGAAAAGAGUUGAUGUUUUCGCCUUGAGCGUUUAUGGUUUUUUUUAUUUUCCCUAAGGCUUUAAGGCAUGUAGAUGAAGCAGUUGCCGAUCUAUUUGACGGAUUUGGUAAAUGAGUCACUCCUGUUCCUGCAAUCUUGGCUGAGACUUUCAGAUCUUUGAGUGCAUGUCGGAGGGCAGGUGAAGGAAGAUUUAUUGGGUGUGCACAACUCUUGUUAGUAUGGUUUCAUAGUCACUUUUGGAGGGUAGAAAAGGCCUCUUACCGACCUUUUCUUGAAGAUUACUCACCUUUGAAGGAGUAGUAACCAUAUCGAGAAGAGAUGACAUAACAGAGGAAAAAUGGAUGGCGAUACUUCAAAAUAUCCAAGAGGAGGAUAUCGAAUGGAAGGCCCCUUGGAUGGUUUCUGAUGAGAUUCUCUACCGAUGUGAGAGUUAUGAUUGGGUCCCUUUGUUGGGGAUUUGGAGAGCCGUUGGAUACGCCCCUCUGCUUGUAUUGAGGUAAUAUAGAUCGAGACAAUUUAUACCGGUGACGCAUGGGCUAGCUCAGAGUGGGUUCUCGUAUAGAGAGAAAGACUCCAAGAAAAAGAGCCGCGAGAGUUAUAAUGCCUGGAACCAAACCUGUCGGAUAAAGGGAGUUGCUAUGAAUCCAAUGGUGACUCUUGAAUAUAAUGAAUGGUGGAGUAGAAGGGUUAACGACAAUAUCCCGAGGCCAAAUUUAGAAAAAGCUCGACCGAUAGAGGAAUAUCUGCGAGUGGUCCCCUCCGAAUUGGAAAUCAUAAAGCAAGACUUCGAAAAGAAAACCUCGGAGUUAGAAAGGAAAAUAGAGAAGUUGGAGGAGGAAAAAGUAUACUUAAAGUUGGAUGUUGAUGUUCAAAAAUCCGAGGCUGAUAAUUUGAGAAAGAGAAAGAGAGAGGUUGAGGAGGACCUGGACAGUAUGAAGACUGAUUACAAGCAGCUGCAUAAGUCAAUGAGAAAUGCUGGCUUGGGUAAAACGUCUGAACAGUGGAGGCAAGAAAUCCAAGAGGAAAAGGCUAGGGCUGAUUGGUGGGAAAGAAAGUUCCACGAUGCUCAGGCUCGAGAAGUCGCUUGUAAAAAGAGUUUAGACGAUAGCCAGAAUGAAAAACAGAUGUUAAGAGCUUGGGUGGCAGAGUUAGAAACGACACUACAGCAACAUCGGAGUCGUGACUCAGUGAUUGAAUUAAGGGCUAGCCUAAGUAAGAUCGAGAAUUUGAAGGGGAAAGUAGAAGAACUUGAGACUACACUUCAGAACUGUGAAUAUCAAAUUAAAUUGUUGGAAGCAAAUAAUGACUCACCGAUCUCAGGAUCAGGUCUGAGAUAGGGAUUACUUAAUGGGCGAAGCUAUAGCUCAGAUACGAGAGGUGGCUGAUCAUUUACAGACUUUGGCGGUCCAAGCAGAUGUGCUAGGAGUUAAAUAUGAGUUACAGUCAGAUCGAGGGCGAGAGUUAGCCUACCUUCUUAAGAAAGUAAAAGAUUUAGGUGUUAGGGCAAGACCGUAUAUGUAAUUCAUUUUAUAUAAAAGAUUUUGUUUUUCAGUAAAGUUUUCUAAAUGAAAUUGAAUGCGAAUCGAUGUCUUCUUUUUGCAUUCAUGUCAUGCAUUUGCAUUGCAUUACAUCGCAUAACAUCAUAUACACAAAAGAACCCUAUUAAUUAGUGGCCAUUUAUCUAGUUACCUUGGAACACCGGUACUACACACGAAGGAAAACAAAGGAUAUGGAUCAGAGGUUUGAGCAAAUGCAAAAGGAGAUGCAAGAGCAACUGCAAGCUCAGAUGCAAGAGCAGCUGGCUAAAAUCCAGUAGGAAAUGAGAGACCAAAUGCUGGAGUCCCAGAGAAACAUGCUAGAAUCACAAAACAACAUGAUAAGCCAGCUGACACAGCUGUUUAAAGGAGGGUCUGACAAAGGAAAAGGCCCUAUGGUUGACACGGGAAAUGACAAUGAGGAUUUCGCUUUUCCUACAAGUUUUGCACCAGUGAACAUGCAAACAUAACCACCAAGGGUGUCUGUUAAUGUCCAACCUCUUUAUCAAACUGGUACCUCGGCACCAAUAACUUCCCAGCAGGAUCGAGCACCAACCCUGGAGAUAAUCUGGCAAACCCCCUGGUCCCUGACUUUGACAACGCAGCAGAGGUAGAAAAGACAAAGGCUGAGGUCCCAAAACAAUUUGAGGAUCGAUGCAAAUGGUUGGAGGAAAAGUUCAAGGAGUUAGAGAAUGCUGAUCAUUACUGCGGAAUCGAUGCAAAGGAACUGAGUUUGGUCCCGGACUUAGUACUUCCCCCGAAGUUUAAAAUGCCGGAGUUUGAAAGAUAUAGCGGAACCAGCUACCCUGAGGCUCACAUUACGAUGUUUUGUCAAAGGAUGACGGGGUAUGUCAACAACGAUCAACUGUUGAUCCAUUGUUUUCAGGACAGUUUGAGUGGGGCUGUAGCGAAAUGGUACAAUCAAUUGAGUAGGUGUAACACUCCAAGCCUAAGUCCGAUCGCCGGUUUAGGCUAUAAGGUAUUAUUGAGCUAAACAUUUAAUUUUUCAUUCACAAAAUUAACAAUAAAAGCAGAAAUUUAGCUGAAUACAUACUGAACCUUGAGUUAUAAAUGUCAUUUUCAUAUAGCCAAAAUAUUUACAAUUACAAAACAUAUUCGUCAACAGCCUAAUCUAUACAUGCCAUAUCGAGUCCAAAAUAUAACUGUACCAAAAAGAUCGAUAGUAUGAAGAACUGCUGACGAUCCCCGAGUCGGCGGCCAGAGUCAACAAUCUAUAAAACAGAGAAAUAAGAAUUUGAGUAAGCUUUCGAGGCUUAGUAAGUUUUAAGCAAUUUAUACUAUUAAAGCUUGUCAUUAAAAUUGAACAUUGAGAAUCACAAAACUUGUAUUCUAAUUGUAAUUCACUUGACCAAAUAUACACCAGCACAUUAGUUACAAAACCCAUUGGCCGAAUAUAUAUGUAUAUAUACACAAGAAACUUCUUGCACAUAUUUUACUAUUUACAAAGAUUAUACUAAUACCUUUAAUUACGUUCUUUCAUAUGAUGACUUACAAUAACCAAUUAUAUUGUUUUCUUAUCCUCAAAUACCGAAUUCAUUCACACACACAUAUAUAUAUCGUUCUUUGAUAUUAGUAAAUCACUUAGAAAUCAAUUCAAAUAUGAGUACAUAACACGAACCUUAACGUGUAAAAUAUAUAAUACUUAUGCAACGAUGUUUACCACUGACAUUCGAAGUCGCAAUCUUACUUAACUUACUGGCAUCGGUUUUGUCAAAUCUUAAAGCUCGGAAUACAUUACUAACAUAAGCCUGCGGGUCUUUAACCCAGAUAUUUUUCCAGUACGUAGCCUGCAGACCUCAAGUCCGGAUAUAUUUCUAGCAUAUAGCCUGCAGAUCUCAUGUCCGGAUAUUUUUCCAGCAUAUGGCCUCGGACCUCAUGUCCGGAUAUUUUUCCAGCAUAUAGCCUGCGGACCUCAUGGCCGGAUAUUUUUCCAAUCUCAUAUAUAUUUGAUCAUAUUUUAACACAUCUCAGUCAUCUUAUCACUUAAUAAUCGUAUAUUACAUUCGAAUAUAAACUCGAUACGCACAUCAUCAUUCACAUUUCAGCUCAAUGGUUAUAUCUCAUAUCACUCAUUCUCUUCACCAUUUAAUCUUAAAUUCAAAGUGACCAUCAAACUAUAAGUCAUAUACAUGCAUUAUCUAUUAUACAUCUUAAUUCAAGUGCAAGCCAAAGAUCACAAUUUACCUACUAUACUCUUAUAAUGGCAUCGUCAAUUAUAUACUAAAGGAAACUACUUAAGACUUACCUUGGAUAUUUUAAACAGUUGCGGGUAAUCUACUCGACUGCUUUCUCCUUUCCCUUAUCUGAUUUAGACCCUCUUAGCUCUUGAGCUUGAUUCAAACAAAUAGAUCUAUUUAAUUUCUUAUCAAUUUAACAAUUCGAUUUAAUACAUGUAUAUCGUGCCAUUAAGUACAAAUGAUUUUAUUAACUAGCUAUUUAAACGUCAUACAUAUGCUCUACUCAUGCAUAAUCGAAAAUAUUACUAGCGUAUUACCUUGCAUUUUCGAAUUACAUAACCAUCACUUAAUUUCAUAAAAAAAAAUACACAUAUUAUUUCAGAUUAACACAAGAAUCAGAUGCAUCACUCAAAAUGCCAAAGUCCGACUAAGUCUACCAUUAUAGCAUUAUCAAGUUUAUGUAUUUGGUAAUUCACAUUCAAACACAUUCGGCAUUAUGUAUCUGAUCAAAUGUUUCAUUUAACGCUAAACUCAACUUAUAACCUUCCCUAAUUAAAACAUUCAACACUGACUAGACAUGCUUACAUGCCUAAGCCGAAUAUCAUUUUAGACAUUUGAGAAAUCAUUUCUCAAUUCAUCUUAUUAGUGUUACCUCACUCAAAACAUUUACACCAAUCCAUUAUAAUUAAAACCCUUGUUCAAAAUAAUAUUCACUAUAAUACUAUGGCCGAAACUCCCAAAUAACUAACAUAGUCUCUUAGAUUCAAUAUAAUCACGAAUAUAUAUAUAUAUACAACCUAAAUUCCUCUCUUAACACAUAAUUUACUAUCUUGGAAUUCAUUUCCUAACUAAAUUAACUUACUCCAAAGCCGAAUGCUACUUAAGCAUUAAGCUCAUGUUCUUUUCAUUAUUAAGCAAUUUUCAUAACUCAACUAACAUCCAUUUUCAAUUUAACAUCAACAUUAAAAAAAAUUUAACACAAAAAUUCAUAGCCGAAUGUUGUUUAUUUUAAGCUACCAUUAUAUAAUUACUUAUCACUUCAUACCAUAUUAUCAAAAUUGAACUAAUUAUACUUAUAUAAGUACUAUCAAAGCCGAAACCUAUGCAUAGCAUUAUUCAAGAUUUAUACCCUUAAAAUCAUUUACAAGGCCGAAUUUGUUCAAGUAACUCAACAAGUCCAAGUUCAUCUAUUUCAUAUAUAAAUACUAACAAUUAAGUAUUAACUAGUUCAAACUUCAUUUAACCAUAAGAACAACAAUCUAUCCCCUUCAAUUUCUCCCAUGGCCGAAUGCUCAAGACACCACACAACUCAAAAUUUUGUCAUGGGUUAAGUAAAGAACUUAAUAACUAACUCAAAAUAUGCUAAAAAUCCAAGAAUUAACAUGAAUUACUUACCUUAUUUAAAGUUCAAGAUCACUGAAUGGUUUGUUCUUUUCCUUCUUUAAAAUCGGCUAGGAAGAAACAAGGAUGAAUACUUUGUUUUCUUUACCCAUUUUCUACCUUUAAUUAUUAUUAUUCUAUAAUUUAAAGCCAUUUAAUUAAAAAUAAUGCUAAUAGAAAAUUCAUAUAUUUUAUACUAACUAACAACAUGGCCGGCCACUAUCAAAAAUGGGUAAUUUGACAUGCAAAACCAUUCUUUUCAAUACAUACAUUAUUAGACCACCUUUAAAAAUUACCUAUCAUCUUUCACAUUUUUCUCACAUAAGUCCCAUUUAAUAAUUUCAUAUACAAAUGACAAAAUUAAAGCAUGAAACUUUCACAUAUGCAUGUACACAUAUAAUAAGCAUAGAAUAUAACAAUUAAUUAUUUUUGUGACUCGAUUUUGUGGUCCCGAAACCACUUUCCGACUAGGGUCAAAUUAGGGAUGUCACAGUAGGACCUAAGUCAAGUCGUGGAAGGACCUAGCUCAGGCCUUCAUGAAGCAGUAUGGCCAUAUAACGGAUAUAGCACCUGACCGGAUCACACUCCAGAAUAUGGAGAAGAAGCCAAGUGAAAGCUUCUGGCAGUAUGCUCAGAGAUUGAGAGAGGUCGCUACACAGGUCCAACCACCAUUGCCAGAAAAAGAAACAACCAUGCUCUUCAUCAAUACAUUGAAGGCGCCUUUCAUUACUCACAUGUUAGGUAAUGCAACAAAGAGUUUCACGGACAUAGUAAUGUUUGGAAAAAUGAUAGAAAAUGCCAUAAGAUCGGGUAAGAUAGAAGUUGGGGAGAACACGAGAAGGUCAGCCCCGAAGAAAAGAGAGAAUGAAGUAGGUAAUGUGAGCUCAGGCUACGCAAAACCUGCCACUGUUAAUCAGUCAAGGGCGAUAAUCACAGGCCAGCAGGCCUCACCAAGGCGGGAGCCUAACACGAGACAGAAUACAGAGAAAUUUCAAUUCACUCCCAUACCAGUGACAUAUAGGGAGUUGUACAAAAGUCUGUUUGAUGCAUAUAUAGUGGCUCAUUUCCACUUAGAGCCGUUGCAGCCCUCAUACCGUAAGUGGUACGACGUAAAUACUCAGUGUGAAUACCACACAGGGAUUACGGGGCACUCGAUAGAAAACUGUACCUCGUUCAAAAGGUACGUGAAAAGGCUUAUCAAAGCAGGUGUUGUAAAAUUCGAUGAUACACCUGGUACGGGAAAUCUGUUGCCCAGUCAUACUGAUAAAGGGGUAAACGCGAUAAUUGAGAAUAUGGGGAGGAAAGUCAAGCUGAAUUUCGCGGAGGUGAGAACCCCAUUGAAGCUAGUUUAGAAGGAAAUGCAGAAGAGAGGUUUAGCCCUGCAGGGGUUGGGGGAUAAAAUCUAAUAUACACAAAACUACUGUGAGUUCCAUCAUGAGAAAGAUCACGAGAUCUAGAAUUGUAUUGAGUUCAGGGCCCUUGUACAGGGUCUAAUGGAUAAUAAGGAAUUGGAGUUCCUCGAGUCUGUUGAAGAGGGGGAUGUAUGCUCUCUAGGAGGAGAGUCAAGUGAAGAAGGUUGCAGAGCCAGCUGUCCAGUGAUAAUUAUUUCGAAGCCCAGAAUUAGUGAAGUAGAAGCAAGAGUUACACCAAGAGUUAUAAUCCGGAAGCCAACAGCUUCCCCUUAUAAAGAUAGCCAUAGGGUGCCUUGGAAUUAUAAUUGUAGUAUAGCAGUUUUAGAGAAGGAAGGUUUGAUUAGCACGCCAAACACAGAAGGUAAACCAGUAAAAGGGAAACCCGUCAUACUCAAGAAAGAAGUAGAGAGAUCAGAACCACUGGUUAAUGAGCCAGUAAUGGAAAAUGAAACCAAUGAGUUCUUGAAGUUCCUAGGACACAGCGAGUAUAGUGUUGUGGAACAACUACACCAACAACCGGAUCGCAUAUCGAUAUUGGCUCUGCUGUUAAAUUCGAAGGUCCACCGCAACGUAUUGAUGAAAGUGUUGAAUGAAACCAAUGUUGCGGAUGACAUUUUGGUUAACAAAUUGGAUCGUCUCGUCGGUAACAUAAGCGUUAAUAAUUUCAUCUCCUUCAGCGAUGAUGAGAUACCACUAGGGGGUAGAGGGUCUACUAAGGCUCUGCAUGUCACUACACGUUGCAAGGGGUAUACGCUACUCGGAGUACUAGUUGAUAAUGGGUCCGCAUUGAACGUAUUGCCUUGGGCUACGUUAAACCGUUUACCUAUAGACAGUUCUCAUAUGAAGACGUGUCAGAACAUAGUAAGAGCAUUUGAUGGCACAGAAAGGAAAGUAAUGGGAAGGAUAGAGGUACCUCUUCAGAUUGGCCCAAACACGUGCGAGGUAGAUUUUCUUGUGAUGGAUAUUAAGCCUUCCUAUAACUGUCUAUUAGGAAGACCUUGGAUUUACUCAGCUGGGGCAGUGCCAUCCUCGCUGCACCAGAAGCUAAAGAUGAUUACUGAGGGACAGCUAAUAACAAUAAAUGCGGAGGAGGAAAUUAUUGCGUCAGUUACCAGUGAUGCACCCUACAUAGAGAAUGAUAACGAAGCAUUUGAAUGUUCAUUUCGAUCAUCAGAGUUUGUAAACGCAACGUUUAUAGCUGAAGGAAGCAGGAUUCUGAUACCUAAGAUAUUAGGGGCUACGAAAAUGAGCCUGCAGCUGAUAGUUGGGAAAGGGUCGUUACCUGGCAGAGGACUCGGGAGGCACCUCCGUGGAUAAGUUAGAGUGUCAAUCUUGGUUGGCAAGUGGGAUCGCUUCGGUUUGGGAUUCAGGCCAGAUGCAAGCCAAGUGAAGAAGGAGUUUGAAAGAAAACAAGAACAGCGGAGAGCAAAGAUUGAGUGGGACAGAAGUCAGGUGGGAAUCGAUGAACUUCCCCCACAUUUCCCAAACAUUUGUAUUUGAAGGGUUUAUUCAUUCUAUACAUUAUAAGGUGAAAGAAGGAAUGGCUGAAGAUGCGAUAGGAAUUUGAAGCAUCAAUGCCACAUUUGAAGAGGAAGCAAUGGAAAGGAAUUUAUCAGACAUUUGCCUGUAUGAGCCUAGGAGUGUUUUGGAUAACUGGACUGAGGAAGAAAUUCCUGUAAUCUUUAGAGCUAACACAGAGUAAUAUUCAAAACCUACCUGUUGUCUUCUAGCCUAGGGACAAUAAGAAUCUUUUGUGAAAUAGGCUCAUGUUCAAACAUUAUUAUUUUCAAUAAAAAAUGCAUUUUCAUAUAUCGGUUCGAGCAAUUAUUCUUUUUUCCUUUUCAUUUCAUACACAAUCAUACCAUACAAAGGAAUUAUCCAUUUCGUUUUCUUUGGGUAUUCUCUUAUACUCAUAAUAGGCCCCCGGAUGUCCACGUCAUGAGAAAUACUGAUGCGAGCUCGAAAUUUCCUUUGGAGUGAGACAUGUGCUUUAAGGGACUUCAAGAUUUUGAAGAGGAUGAGGAUUGUGGUUUACCUCCCGAUUUGUUAAGGAUGGUGGAGCGAGAAGAGGAACAGAUCCUGCCACACAAAGAGACUACUGAGAUUGUGGCCCUAGAAGAGGGGAAGGAAGUUAAAAUUGGCACUUGCGUUAACGAGAAAACAAGACAGAGCCUCAUUGAGCUGUUACAAGAAUUCAAAGACGUAUUUGCAUGGUCAUACCAGGAUAUGCCUGGUCUAAGUACUGAUAUCGCAGUGCACCGUGUCCUUACAAAAAAGGAGUGCAAGCCAGUUCAGCAGAAGUUCAGAAGGAUGAGACCCGAUGUAGCAAUGAAAAUAAAGGAAGAAGUCAAGAAGCAGUUUAAUGCUGAAUUCCUACAGGUGGUUAAUUAUUCAGAGUGGGUUGACAAAGUCAUCCCUAACCCUAAGAAAGAUGGGAAAGUGCGGAUGUGUGUAGAUUACAGAGAUUUAAACAAGGUCAGCCCAAAGGAUAACUUUCCAUUGCCUCACAUAGACACUCUAGUGGAUAAUACAGCAGGCUAUUCACUGUUCUCCUUCAUGGAUGGGUUCUCCGGGUACAAUCAGAUCAAGAUGCAUCCUAAGGACAUAGAAAAAACCACAUUCAUAACUUUAUGGGGAACGUUUUGCUACAAGGUGAUGCCCUUCGGGUUGAAAAAUGCAGGAGUCACAUACCAAAGAGCCAUGGUAACCUUGUUCCAUGACAUGAUGCACAAGAAAAUUGAGGUCUACAUUGACGACAUGAUUGCAAAAUCCCGAACUGAAGAGAAGCAUGUACGAGUGUUUAGAAAAUUGUUCCUCAGGUUGAGAAAAUUCCAAUUAAAGCUCAAUCCGUCAAAAUGCACCUUCGGAGCUAGGUCCGAAAAGUUACUCGGCUUCGUAGUCAGUGAGAAGGGAAUAGAAGUUGACCUUGAUAAAAUCAAGGCUAUACAGGAGCUGCCUCCGCCACGAACUCAGAAAGAAGUCCGAGGUUUCUUAGGGAGACUAAACUACAUCGCACUAUUUAUUUCGCAACUGACUGAGAAGUGUGACCCCAUAUUCCAUCUUCUUAAAAAGCAUAAUCCUGGGGUAUGGGAUGAUAAAUGCCAAAAAAAACCUUUGAAAAGGUUAAACAAUAUUUGUCCAGUCCCCCAGUGCUAACACCACCAAGCCCUGGUAGACCAUUGAUACUGUACUUAACAGUAUUUGAUAAUUCGAUGGGGUGUGUGCUCGGUCAACACGAUGAGACUGGGAGAAAAGAAAGAGCGAUAUAUUACCUCAGUGAGUGUGAAAUGAGGUAUCUGCCAAUUGAGAAGCUAUGCUGUUCUUUGGUUUGGACAACACGAAGGUUGAGGCAAUACAUGUUGUACCAUACAACUUGGCUAAUUUCAAAGCUAGACCCUCUUAAAUACAUGAUGGAGUCAACCACUUUAAAUGGAAGGAUGGCCCGAUGGUAGAUUCUGCUCUCCGAAUUUGACAUAGUCUAUGUAAACCAAAAAGCUAUGAAAGGGAGUGUAAUAGUAGACUUCCUAGCCAAUAGAGCUUUGGAGGACUAUGAACCUUUGAAUUUUAAUUUCCCCAAUGAAGAUCUAAUGUAUGUAGCAAUCGCUGAAGGAAACGUGCCUGAAGAUUAUUCUUGGAAAUUAAAUUUUGACGGAGCAUCAAAUGCCGUUGGAAAUAGAGUUGGGGCGGUAAUGAUAUCCCCAAAUGGAGAUCAUUAUCCAUUCACUUACAAGCUGGAUUUUGACUGCACCAACAAUAUGGCAGAAUACGAGGCAUGUAUCAUGGGAAUUCGGGCAGCUAUAGACAGCGAAAUCAAAGUAUUAGAAGUGUAUGGAGAUUCUGCAUUGGUAAUUUAUAAGCUUAAAGGCGAGUAGGAAACGAGAGAUCCUAAAUUGAUUAGUUACCGAAAGUUAAUCUUGGAGUUAAUCGAAGAGUUUGAUGAUAUUACCUUUCAUUACCUCCCGCGAGACAAGAAUCAGAUGGCUGACGCCUUGGCCAUACUAGCUUCCAUGAUCAAAGUAAAUGAACAAGAGGUUAUGAAGCCAAUUCAGAUGAGUAUUUGUGAGGCUCCAGCUCACUGCUGUAAUGUCGAUGAAGAAGAAGAGAGAGAUGAUCAUCCUUGGUAUCAUGAUAUCUUACAAUAUGUGAAGAGCCGUGCGUACCUAGAUCAAGCAACCGAAAAUGAUAAAAGAACAUUAAGGAGGUUAGCCAGUGACUAUGUCCUAGACAGUGAGGUCCUAUAUAAGAAGAGAAAGGAUCAGGUGUUGUUAAGAUGUGUUGACGCUGUUGAGACAAAGAAAAUUCUAGAGGAAGUCCAUGAUGGUGUCUGUGGGACACAUGCCAAUGGUUUCACAAUGGCUCGACAAAUCAUGAGAUUCAAAUAUUACUGGUCUACAAUGGAAGGAGAUUGCAUCAAUUACGCUAAGAAGUGCCAUAAGUGUCAAAUUUAUGGAGACAAGAUCCAUGUGCCUCCUUCACCCCUCUAUGUUAUGACUUCCCUAUGACCAUUCUCAAUGUGGGGCAUGGACGUCAUUGGGCCAAUUUCGCCAAAGGCUUCCAACGGAUAUCGAUUCAUUUUUAUGGUUACUACUUUACCAAAUGGGUAGAGGCUGUUUCGUACGCCAAUAUCACAAAGUCGGCGGUCAGCAAGUUCCUGAAGAAGGAGAUCGUAUGUCGUUAUGGUAUGCCAGAAAGAAUCGUAUCUGACAAUGCGUUGAAUCUGAACAAUAGCGCAAUAGCAGAAGUUUGCAGUCAGUUCAACAUUAAACAUCACAUGUAUGUAGCAAUCGCUGAAGGAAACGUGCCUGAAGAUUAUUCUUGGAAAUUAAAUUUUGACGGAGUAUCAAAUGCCGUUGGAAAUAGAGUUGGGGCGGUAAUGAUAUCCCCAAAUGGAGAUCAUUAUCCAUUCACUUACAAGCUGGAUUUUGACUGCACCAACAAUAUGGCAGAAUACGAGGCAUGUAUCAUGGGAAUUCAGGCAGCUAUAGACAGCGAAAUCAAAGUAUUAGAAGUGUAUGGAGAUUCUGCAUUAGUAAUUUAUCAGCUUAAAGGCGAGUAGGAAACGAGAGAUCCUAAAUUGAUUAGUUACCGAAAGUUAAUCUUGGACUUAAUUGAAGGGUUUGAUGAUAUUACCUUUCAUUACCUCCCGCGAGACAAGAAUCAGAUGGCUGACGCCUUGGCCAUACUAGCUUCCAUGAUCAAAGUAAAUGAACAGGAGGUUAUGAAGCCAAUUCAGAUGAGUAUUUGUGAGGCUCCAGCUCACUGCUGUAAUGUCGAUGAAGAAGAAGAGAGAGAUGAUCAUCCUUGGUAUCAUGAUAUCUUACAAUAUAUGAAGAGCCGUGCGUACCCAGAUCAAGCAACCGAAAAUGAUAAAAGAACAUUGAGGAGGUUAGCCAGUGACUAUGUCCUAGACAGUGAGGUCCUAUAUAAGAAGAGAAAGGAUCAGGUGUUGUUAAGAUGUGUUGACGCUGUUGAGACAAAGAAAAUUCUAGAGGAAGUCCAUGAUGGUGUCUAUGGGACACAUGCCAAUGGUUUCACAAUGGCUCGACAAAUCAUGAGAUUCGAAUAUUACUGGUCUACAAUGGAAGGAGAUUGCAUCAAUUACGCUAAGAAGUGCCAUAAGUGUCAAAUUUAUGGAGACAAGAUCCAUGUGCCUCCUUCACCCCUCCAUGUUAUGACUUCCCUAUGACCAUUCUCAAUGUGGGGCAUGGACGUCAUUGGGCCAAUUUCGCCAAAAGCUUCCAACGGAUAUCGAUUCAUUUUUGUGGUCAUUGACUACUUUACCAAAUGGGUAGAGGCUGCUUCGUACGCCAAUAUCACAAAGUCGGAGGUCAGCAAGUUCCUGAAGAAGGAGAUCGUAUGUCGUUAUGGUAUGCCAGAAAGAAUCGUAUCUGACAAUGCGUUGAAUCUGAACAAUAGCGCAAUAGCAGAAGUCUGCAGUCAGUUCAACAUUAAACAUCACAACUCAUCACCAUACCGCCCGAAAAUGAAUGGGGCGGUUGAGGCAGCUAAUAAGAAUAUCAAGAAGAUUGUGGGGAAGAUGGUGGAGACUUACAAAGAUUGGCAUGAAAAGCUCCCAUUUGCCCUUUAUGCUUAUCGGACAUCUGUCAGAACUUCUACUAGGGCAACACCUUUCUCAUUGGUUUAUGGGAUAGAGGCAGUUUUACCUAUUGAGGUCGAAAUCCCUUCUCUUCAAGUUUUAUCAGAGCUGAAGUUAGACGAAGCAGAAUGGAUCCAAUCUCGUUACGAUUAACUAAACUUGAUUGAAGAGAAGAGGCUGAAGGCUAUUCGUCAUGGUCAAUUGUACCAGAGGAGAAUGAUGCGAGCCUACAACAAAAAAGUUCACCCAGGGUGUUAUAUGAGGGGGACUUAGUAUUGAAAAAGAUUCUCCCUAUGCAAAAAUAUUUCAGGGGGAAAUGGAUGCCAAAUUGGGAAGGACUUUAUGUGGUAAAAAAGGCUUUCUCUAGAGGGGCAUUGAUACUAGCAAAGAUGGAUGGCAAGAGCUUGCCUAACCCGAUAAAUUCAGAUUUUGUCAAAAGAUAUUUUGCUUGAAGCAGUUGAGGUGAAAACCCGUAAAGAGCGCCAAAAAAAAGGAGAGGCCAAAGUGAAAACCCGUAAAAGGGCGCCUUGAGACCAAAGGGGUUUUGAAUUGAAAACCCGCAAAGGACAAUUCAACUUUCGAUCCAAACUGGGGCAAGCGGCAGUCUCACUACACUUGAAUCGACAAAGAGGAGAUAAGCUACAUCUUGGGGCAUCAACAAAAUGUUAUAGAUCCCUUGAGCGCGUGCCAAGUUUAAAAAGGUCCUCGAGGAGUUCGUGUAGAGAAGCUCAAACUGCGAAAUCUGGGGCACCUAUUCUGUUCCUUUUCAUCCGUUUUUGUAUCUCAAACAAUGUCUGCUUUCUUUGUUGAUACAUCUUUCGCAAAUUUUGACUCGAAUAAAUUUCAGUUCUACCUAUCAUUAUAAUCUUUUUCGAGUAUUUUUAUUGAAAUAAUGAUUAAUGAACUAAUAAUGCUCUCAAAAGAAGUUUUUGCAUAUUACUCUGAAAGGUUUCUAAACAAUACGAGAACCUGAAACAGGACAAUUAUUUAGAACUCACCGAGCUUAAAAGGGCUAGAAACGUGUGAAAAAUAAGGGAUUAACCGCAUCUUCAGGUCCUUUUCUACCGAGCUGAACAAGAAGGCAUAUAUCAGAGAUGUUACCUUAGUAAACAACGAGCGAUGACAGCCCAAAAUUAAAAUAGAUCAUUCUCAUGACAUUUUGCAUGUUGUGCAUUUAACAUCCAUAAUACAUGUAGUUAGGAGAAUUUGAUUCAUAUUAAUCAUGGCAUCCUAAUCAUCUAGCAUAAGCAUAUCACUCUCCUACAGAUGGAUUCCCCAGUGGACAAUGUAGCAGGAUUAUAGAUAUCAUAAGCCUUAUCUUCACUGAGCAGGAGUGGAGCAGGCUAAAUACCAGAUCUUAUCUUCACUGAGCAGGGGUGAAGCAGAUCAAAUUUUAGAUAAUCUUAUCUCCACGUACCGGCGAUGGAGCAGGUUCCAAUCAUCAACUUUAUCUUCACUGAGCAGGAGUGGAGCAGGCUAAAUAUAUCAGAUCUUAUCUUUAUUGAGCAGGAGUGAAGCAGAUCGAAUUUUGGAGAAUCUUAUCUCCACGUACCGGCGAUGGAACAGAUUCCAAUCAUUAGCUUUAUCUUUACUGAGCAGGAGUGGAGUAGGCUAAAUAUACUAGAUCUUAUCUUCGUUGAGCAAGAGCGGAUCAGAUAAAGUUCCAACAAAUCGUAUCUUCAUGAAACAGCUAUGAGACAUUUGGAAGCAAUAGGAUGCAGUGGGUUGUGAUAAAGUUACACCAAGAAGCGCCAAAGGAAGUCAAGAUUUGGCAAGACCGGGCAAAAUUUAUAACAGCCUAAUUUUUAGUAGUAUCGGGAAUAGAGAUUUGAGAUCACUAAAUCUGAUGGGUGAGUUGAAAAUUUAAUAAAUUAAUACCUAUGAGUCAAAUGUGAAUAUAAAAGCAUUUUUGAAUUAGUAAAUUUGGUGAUUUAAAAGAAUUAAUUAGGUAAAUUGGGUCGAGAAUAAGGUAUCGAGACCUCGACUUCAUAAAUCGAGCCAUAAAUAUUUUUAGAAAUAUUUAUGGAGUGUUGGUGAGGUAGUAAUAAAAUUUAGUCAGAAAAUUUUGACGUUUGGGUGGUUAAUUAAAUAAAAAGGACUAAAUUGAAAAGGGUGUAAAAGUUGCUAAAAUGAUUAAAUAGCUCAAUUUUCAAAUGAGAAGGACCUAAAGUGCAAAUAAGCCCAAAGGAGAUAUUUUGGGUGGCAAUAGCUGAGAAAAAUCAGGAAAUGGGUGAAAUAGGGCAAAAUUGGAAAAUUGACAAAAUUGGCUAAAUAAAAAUGGGACUAAAUUGGGAUAUCUAGAAUUCUCUUCAUUUCUCUUCAUAUUCAUCAGCUGAAAAACAUCCAUGGAGGAGGGUUCAAGCUGGUUUUCAUACUCUAGCUUCAUGUAAGUUUAAUUCUUGCUUUCUCCUUGACAUUUUUAUGUUUUUGGACUUUUACAAUUGGGUCCAACUUACUAUUUCAUUAGUUUGUGAUUCCAUGUCUAAUUUUUGAAGUUGUUAUGGAUGAGUGCUGGAAGUAUAUGAUGAUUUUGCAUGGAAUUAGAACUUUAAAUUGUUUAUAUUCUGAUUUUAUUGAAAGAAUUGAAUAGAAAGUGAAUGUUUGGGACCUAAUUGUAAAAGAGUUUGAAGUUAGAGUUUUAUGUGGAAAUUCUGAAUCUCAAUAGUUAUGAAAUAACUUAUAAUGUAAAGAAAAAGUAUUAAUUGAGAAAAUUAUCUUAAUUUAGGGGUUAAUUGAAUAAGGACUGAAUUGUAUGAAUUGUAAAAUUUGGGGUAAAAUGGAAAUCAACAUUUUGCACUAAAACUGUUUUGGGCAACAACAGUAGUUUAACUUUGAAAAAUCAUAAAAAAAUGUAGAAAUCGAAUUAGAGGAUGAAUAAAAUAUGAAAUUAAAGCUUAUUAAGUCUAGUUCCUUAUAAAAGAAAUUAUGUAAGCAAUGGAAUUGUAAAUCAUGAGAUACAAUAACUUUUGUGAGACAAGGUCAGAAUGAUUUCGGGUUCCCCUGUUCUGAAUUUGGAAAAUCAUCAAAAAUUGGAUAAAAAUAAUUAGAGGCUUAAAUUUAUAUGUUUAGAAUCUUGAAUGAGUCUAUUUUCAAGAGAAACAAACGAGGACAUCAUUCAAAUCUUGUACGAGAAGAUAAUUAAUUUUUAGUGAAGAAGGGUCGAAACUGUCAGACAGCAGAACAGGGGAGACUUCAAUGAAUAAACUGUAUUAAUUGGCCUAGCCAAAAAUUAUGAAAUUUUUAUGGUAAGAAUAAAUAUGAGUCUAGUUUCUGGAAAAAUUCAUGUAUCUUAAUUUGGAGUUCUGUGGCUCAAGAUAAAAAUAAUUUAGUGACUAUGACACAGAUGGACAGCUUGAAUAUUCACAUAAGUAGAUAGUGAAAAUUAUGGAUAAUGUUACCUACAAGUGUGUUGUUUAUACUAAGGAUGUGGAUGGAGAGGAGGAGGAGGAAAAUAUACAAAAAUAUAUGAAUAACUCGUGUAUAAAUUGAUCACAUGCCCGAUUAUAAUCGAUAAGUGUUGGAUUAGAAAUGAUAUAAUGUUUUAUUUGGUAUAUUUAUUAUGAAAUUAUGAUUAUCGUUAUAAUACAAAAAUUGAACUUGUGAGUUUAUAUGGAUAAAUUUUAGUGAUUAUUUGUUAAUUUUAUGAAUUUCAUAUUGUGUUAUUUCAUAUGUGUUGAUGAUAAAAUCGUGAAUAAUGUAAAAGCAUGAAAAUUGAAUAAAUGAUCAAAUUGAGAAUUUCAGUUCAGUGACAAGAUGAAUUGAAGGAAAAGACCAUGGUUGGACCAUGGAAACAAGUGAUAAGUGAUAGCUUCGGCUACACUUAUCUGAUCAAGGAAAAGUGAAAGUGAUAAGUGAUAGCUUCGGCUACACUUAUCUGAUCAAUGACAAAUGACAAGUGAAAAGUGGUAGCUUCAACUACCUGAUCAGUGAAAAGUGGUAGCUUCUGCUACCUGAUCACCGGCUACCUGAUCAGUGAAAAGUGGUAGCUCCGGUAGCUCCGGCUACCUGAUCAGUGAAUAGUGAUAGUUUCGGCUACAAGUGACAAGUGACAAGUGAUUUCCGUUUAAGACCAUAUUCCGUAUAAGACCAUAUCUAGGAUAUGGCAUCGGUGUGAUAUAUGCUACUGUAUAAGACCAUAUCUGGGAUAUGGCAUCAGUGAGAUAUGUGAUUCGUGUAAGACCAUAGCUGGGCUAUGGCAUCGAUAUAUGAAUAUGUGUAAGACCAUAGCUGGACUAUGGCAUCAUUAUGUGAAAAUGUGUAAGACCAUAGUUGAACUAUGGCAUCGAAAAAAUGAAGUACUCAAUUUCGUAAGACGUUCACUAAUUUGACAAAGUUUGGUAAGUGUUACAUGGAAUUAUGUGAUACAAGGAAGUACGAGUUGAUAAGAUACGAGUAUAGAACUUGGUUGAUAAAUGAAUUCAUUUGUGAUUAUUUAAUUAUUCAUCUUGAAUGUACUGUCCAUAUGUAUUGAUAAUUCAAAUGUUUUAAUGAAUAAAAUUCUGAUAUGGGAUAAAUUGAACACGAGACAAAUAAUUAUAAAAUUGAACUCGAAAUUCAUGAAAAUGACGGUUAUUGAUAUAUGGAGACAUGAGACAUUGAUAUAUGAAUAUGGAAAAUGUUUGAUAAAUGUGUUUAUUCAUAAUUAUAGGAUUAUAUACCUCAUGUGUACUAUUUGCAUAAAGAUGAUAUUUCAAAUACUUUGGUUAUUUAAGAUUAAAUAGGAAAUAGUCUGAAAUCAAGAUAAGUUGUUAUGAAAAUAUAUUUAGAUUACAGAGAUAUGGCUGAUAUAUGUUGUAUGAUUACAUAACGUGAAAUUGUGUAUAUAUAUGAGAAAUUGAAUGAGAAUUAAGCCCAAACACGUUUCUUGUUAUUUAUAUGAAGUGUACGACUGACAAGGGUGAUGAAGUUAUAAACAGAGAAUUACACGGGUUGAAAACACGAGCGUGUGACUCUCCAAAGUGUGAAAAUUUUCUAAGUGUUGCAAAAGUUUCAUAUGUUUACGGUUUGGUCCCGAACUAUCCUGAAUGUAUGUUUUGGGCCCCGUAGGCCCAUAUAAGGGACGUUAAACAUAUGUAUGAAAGUUUUUAAUUUAGAAAAAAAAUUUAUGGCUGAUUUUUUUUACAUGAUUGAUCAUAUUAAGUUUGGUAAUGCCUCGUACCUUAUUCUAGGCUCGGAAUACGGGUAGGGGGUGUUACAAAAUUGGCCCAUUUAGAGUCUUUGCUCCAUUCUCGUUACACGACAAUGAGCAAAGAGGGGUAGCUGUAGACCCAAUUUUCAGCCAGGCCUAAACCACCAGGAACCCAAAACCAAAUACAAGCCAAUUAAAGCCUAAAUACCUACAUUGAAGUCCAAAUCACAUCUCAAAUCAAACACCUAAAACAAAAUUAUAGACCAAGCCCAAUUACAUAAACCCCAACAGCCCAAAAAAAUAAUAAAAACAAAAACACCAUCAGCCGUCACAACCCAGGGCAGUCUCCAGGCACAGCACGUCUCGCGCUUCCUCCGCGUCAUGCGCUGCUCCACCAUGCCACAUCAGUGAUGCACUCAUGCACGUACCUGCAAAUAGGGGUGAGUACUCGAUCGAGUCGAGUCGAAUCGAGUCAAAAAAUUUUGAGUUAGUCGAGUUGACGAAUCCUAUUUUUGCAACCGAAUUCAAUUUGAAAUUUUUUCAAAUCGAGUCGAAUCGAGUGAAAAAAUUUCGAGUCGAGUCGAGUCGAGUUAAAGAAUCCUAUUAUUUAUACUCAAUAUUACGUUUAUAUGGACCGGUUAUUCAACUAGUAAACGAAUUACAAUAUUAUUUAACUACAUAAACAAUAUAAUUUACUAAAUAAUUACAUGUAAAGAACUAUUUUAGGCAUGUAAAGAACUAUUUUAGGUAUGCAAAAUAACUAUAUAUAACGUUCUAAGAUGAUCAUUGUAGCCAAAAUUUGAGUCAACUACAUAAGCUAUUACACCACACGCAUAAUUAUAUUUACAUAGUGCAUAAUUAUGCAUCAAGAACUAUCUUAUAUACAAGAUAGCAAAAUGAUAUACCAAAAGCAUGAUAUAGGGAUACUUGUCACUACUACACAAAAUAUGAUAUAACAAAAUGAUACACCAAAAGUAUAAUAUAGAUCGUCAUGGUGUGACGCUCCAAGACUCGAAUUCAACAAAAUAAAUUCAAGCUUCGUACACAACAAAAUCCAAAGUUUAACCAAUUGUUUUGACCAAAUCAAAGCAAAUUCAAUGUUGAAGUUUUCAUAAGGUUUAACAAAAUAUCUAUUCCAAAAAGUUAAAAUCAAACUAUCUUCAAGCUUCAUCUUCUUCAAACAUUGUAGAUAGUACCGACAAUUCUGUAACAAAAAUAAAAAUGUAUUCUUAAACUAUGAAAAUCUUUACUAGAAAAAUUAAAAAUAAACAUUCAAUUUUGUGAGUUGUAGUUAAGUAUGUUACCAUCUUCAUGUUUCGAUAACUUUGACAAUUCUAAUAAAUAUCAAAAGAGAAAAAUGUUAGUUAAAUUGUGAGAAUAUUUAUAAAAAUAAAUAAAAUAAGCAAUUAACCUUUUGGAUUAAAGUUAGUCCCUUACCAUCAUCUAUAUUUUGAAGUUCCUCCACAUACUCCUCAAGGUUGAUAGGAUCUUUUGACCUUCGAAGCCAAUCUUGUGUGCAAACCAAAGCUUCAACCAUAGAAGGAGUCAAAGAACUUCUAAAAUUAUCUAGUACACGUCCACUCGUGCUAAAAGCACUUUCUGAUGCAACAGUUGAGAUAGGAACGGAUAACACAUCUCGAGCCAUUUGCGCAACAAUUGGGAAUCUUGGACUAUUAACUUUCCACCAUAAUAACAAAUCAAAUGAAUCUGAAUUAUUUUCACAAUCUUCUCCCAAAUAUCUAUCCAACUCCGAUUUACUUUCCAAGCCAACACGUUGUUUUUUCUUUAUAUCUUGUUGCAUGACUAAGCCUAUCUUCGGUUUUACUUGAUCUAUUUCAUUUUCACUUGAACUUGGAGCUCUAGUAGGAAAAUUACUUUCAACUUCAACGUUCAUGUGAUGAUUUCCCUCAAUAAUUGCAGAAUAUUCAUCAAACAAAUAAUGCAAUUCUCUAUUGACCAUCCUUAUAAUGUCAUCUGCAAUAGUAGGAAAAAGCAAGUUGACUCCAAAUGCAAGAAAAUCAAUUUCGUGUCUUGGGUCAAAGAUAACUGCUAGAUAAAUAAGCAAGUUCAUCACUUUUGAAUCACCCCAGUACUUCUUGUACUUGUCAUUCAUUUUUGAAGCCAUAGACAUUAUGUCUAAAUCCCCACAAUGUUUCCACCCAUCAAGAAGACAAUGCACAUCUGUGACUACUUCAAAAAAAGUAUUAGAGGUGACAUGUAAUGAUCCAGACACCUUCAAUGUAAGUUCAUGAAAAGGCUCAAGCACUUUUGUAACUCUUCGAACAUUUUCCCAAUCAUCACAUGUGGGGACUCCAUAUCCAGCACUAAGGUCAAGAAAAAAGUUAUGAUCAUCAUGAACAUAAGCUUUAAACACACAUUCAUAUUUUUCAGCCACAUUUAACAUCAUAUAAGUUGAAUUCCAUCUAGUAGGCACAUCUAGACAUAAAUGAGCCUUAGUACCUACCAUUUCUUCUUUUUCCCGAUGGUUGAAUUUAAAUAACCUUGAUGGUGAUGCUCUAAUAUAUCUCACAGCUCCUCUAACUCGAUCCAAAGAUAUAGAAGCGUCCUUAACCCCUUCUUGAACAAUGAUAUUAAUAAUGUGUGCCACACAUCUCAUAUGUAUAUAUUUACCAUUCGCAACACAAGCUUUUCGAUGAACCAACUUUUUUCUCAAAUAAUCAACAGCAACAUUGUUAGAAGAUGCAUUAUCAAUAAUAAUUGCAAAGACCUUCUCAAUCCCCCAAUCCCGAUGACAUUUCUCAAGGGCUUGACCAAUGCUCUCACCUCUAUGAGCAGAAAUUGGGCAAAAGUUUAUAAUUCUCUUUUGUAACUUCCACUCAUCAUCUAUCCAAUGAGCUGUUAGAACCAUGUAGGAUAUCCUUUGCAAUGACGUCCAAGUGUCUGUCGUCAAACAAAUUCUACUUGUCUCUUUUUGAAAAGAUUGCUUUAAUGUAUUCUUCAUGGAAUUAAAUAAAUCAAGACAACCUUUUCUAAUUGUCCAACGAGAUGGAAGAUGAAACCUUGGGCAUGCUAUAGAAAUAAAGAACUUAAAACCCUCCCAUUCCACAAAAUUAAAAGGCAAUUCAUCCGUAAUGAUCAUAUUAAUCAAUGCAUUUCUAAUAUCAUCUUGAUUAAACACCCAAGUUGCCAAAUCUACAUUUUCUUGGCUAGAUUUUGUAAAUGCAAGUUCUGCUUGUUUAAGAUCAGAGGUAUUACCUCGGGGUUUUUUUUGAGCAAGUCUUCAAAUGGUUAUUUAAAUUGGUGGUAGAAGCCCCGGUUUCCAUUGUGUAAGUGACAUCGCAAUAAUUACACUUUGCCCUAUUCUCCCCAUCUUCUGUUGAGUAUUUGCUGAAAUGUUGCCAACAAGGUGCCCUUGGUUUGGUCUUUCUUCGAGUAUUUCCCUUCUUUGUUAUGCGAACAACUUUAGUAGGAGAAGUAGGUGUAGCUUCUUGUAAUGCUUUUUUGCUUUGGGACUUUUGGGAUGAUAUUGAGUCAUUCAUCUACAAAAAUAAAUAUAAUCAAUUAAAAUUACAAAAUAGUCAAAGGUCAUAAUUCCAUCAAAGUUUUAUACUAAUAGAUAUGUUCCACACAAAUAUCCAUCAACAAUUCAAAUUAAAGCGUUCAAAAUUAACUCAAAACAAAAACAAUGGAGUAACUUCAAAAUUAACUCAAAAUAAAAACAAUGGAGUAACUUACUUAUAAAAUAUACUAAUUUAACUUAUUGAAUAUAUUAACGAAACAUAUAAUUGAGCAAACGUAACAAAAUUUUUUAAAAAAUGAGAAUAAAAAGCCAAAAUUUUAAAACUCUUAUUUAAAGAGUUGUGGUUCACAUAAAUAAAAAAAAUAAAGUCUACAAUAAAUAAAUAUAAAGUAAAUCAAAAGUCAAAAAUGAAAGAAGUUAUAAGUCCAUAACACUUCUUUUGAGAGAUUGGAGUGAGAUUUCCAGUCAUUUCAACUAAUAUUUAUAAUGGAUAGAGAUUAACAAAUUAUUUUAGCCUACAAAUCAUUCACAUCCACAUGUUUAAGAAUAGAAAUUGAAUGAACUAAAAUUCCAUCACGUUUGUCACAUACUGUUUAAAUAAAAGUAAUAAACAUAACAUUAUGAGGCAUUAACAAGUUAAAGCUCUGUUUUUUUGUUCUUUUGCAAAAUUAAUUUAAUUUUAAUUGGCUUUUAUAAUAUAUAUAUCUAUAUAUAUGUAUAAUAUAAUAUAUGCAUGGCUUAAAUGAAGCUAAAUGGAAUAUAUGCAUAAUGCAUUAAUAUAUAUAUAUAUGCGCAUGACUUAAAUGAAACAAAACAUUAUAUAUAUGCAUUAAUAUUAAAUGAAGCUAAACAGUAUACAUAUGCAUUAAUAUAUAUAUGCUUGGCUUAACUCAAGCUAAACCUGCUAAUUAUGAUAUAUAUAUGCAAUUAUGCAUGACUUAAAUGAAGUUAAAUGGAAUAUAUAUGCAUUAUGCGCAUGACUUAAAUGAAGCAAAACAUUAUAUAUAUGCCUUAAUAUUAAAUGAAGCUAAACAGUAUACAUAUGCAUUAAUAUAUAUAUAUGCUUGGCUUAACUCAAGCUAAAUCUGCUAAUUAUGGUAUAUAUAUGCAAUUAUGCAUGACUUAAAUGAAGUUAAAUGGAAUAUAUAUGCAUUAUGCGCAUGACUUAAAUAAAGCAAAAUUUUAUAUAUAUGCCUUAAUAUUAAAUGAAGCUAAACAGUAUACAUAUGCAUUAAUAUAUAUAUGCUUGGCUUAACUCAAGCUAAACCUGCUAAUUAUGGUAUAUAUAUGCAAUUAUGCAUGACUUAAAUGAAGCAAAACAUUAUAUAUAUGCAUUAAUAUUAAAUGAAGCUAAACAGUAUACAUAUGCAUUAAUAUAUAUAUGCUUGACUUAAAUGAAGUUAAACCUGCUAAUAAUGGUAUAUAUAUGCAUGACUUAAAUGAAACUAAACCUGUUAAUAAUGGUUAAUUUAAUUGACCUGGAAUAAUACAAGACAGGCAGUUUAGUUUGAUUAGUAAAAACAUGGAAAAAUACAAGACAGGCAAAAACAUGGAAACUCAGAAACAUAGAAACUUUGAUUAGUAAAAACUAAAACCAGACCCUUAAAUCAUACAAGGCAGCAGGCGAGGUUAUUACUUUGAUUAGUAAAAACUAAAACCAGACCCACUACCUCAGGCUCAGGACCCUUUCGACGUUGCACAAAAGCCAUUACUUUACGUUCAACUAGCAGUGGAAUAGUUAUGUAUGUUUUCGAUUUUCUAUUUACUCUUUCUUGCUGUAAGGAGCAAGAAGAAGAUUCAAAAAGAAAACAAUAAUUGUUUUUAGAAUGUAAAGGUGAAAACUAGAAACACUCACUCACAGACUUACUCACAUGCACAAAGCUAAAAAAAGAAUACAAUCUCACCUUAAACAACUGACGUUGGUUGUGGCUUGUGGAACCUUGUUUGUGGCUUGUGGAACUGUGGUCGUGGCCUCGUGGGACAAAGCAUGAAAUCAGAUUCUCAGAAAAGAGUAAACAGAUGGAAGGGGGACGUUAGGUGUGGGGAAGGAAUGAAAAUAUUUGAGUAAAGAAGAAAGGAAAAAUUGGGGGAGGGGUGGGAAUUUGGAACGAGGAAAAAUUGGGGGAGGGGGUGGGAAUUUGGAACGGCAGAAAGAAACUAAGCUUAAGCUUAACUGCUUAAGUUAUGAAAAAAAAAUUAAAUUUAAAAAUUAAAACUUAUCAGACGUAGUUUUAUCAUUUCUUAUUCGGGUUUUCGGAUAACUCGAAUUUGUAUUUUAUAUCCGAGUUAAACUGAAAAAUUUGAAUUUUUUUUCGAGUCGAUCUGAAUAACUCGAAUAACUCGAACUAUUUAAUUCAAAAUUUGAAUUUUUUAUCGAAUUUUUCGAAUCAAGUCGGAUUUUGCUCACCCCUACCUGCAAACAAGCUAAAGAGGUUGUAAAAAUCGGCUAUAAAGCCAAAUCGAACCAAGUGUAAGGGGUUUCUUUUUUUUUGGAGAAAAAUAGCAGAAUACACACAAAAGAGGAAUCAAUAAAAAAAAUCAAACUCAAAAUUCUAAAGGUUACUUUACUUCUUCUUCUUUGGGUCUUUUUUUGCUUUAUAUUUCGUUUCUUUUUUCUUUCUUAUUUAUUUAUUGGGUUUUAUGAAAAUAUAUUUGAAACAAGAAUUAAAGAGAAGGUUUACCUGGGUCUUAGUGAUUUAGAACCCGAAUGCCGAGGAAAUGUGAAGGUUCGGGCAGGAGAUUUCGUCCAUGGCUAUAACAGUGGCCUUCUCUCUGUUUUUAAAAAUGAAUAAAGAGGGUGAUGCUUUAAAUUUUUGGGUGUUCUAAAAGUUUUUUUAAGGUUAAAAUAAAAGGAAACAAAUAAGUUUCAGUGGGUAAGGAAACAAAUCAGCAUUGGGGAAUGGAAUUAGUGCGCCUUUUGGCCUGGGUCCAAGCGCAUUAUACCUUCCAAUGGGUAAUUUGCGCAAUUAGGCCCCUCAUUUGCGUUAGUUUUCAAUUGGGCCAUGUUAAGUUUCUUAAAUUAUUUUAAUUUAUCCCUGUAACCUGCGCGCUAUUUCAAUUUGGCCCUCCCCUUUAGUGCAGUAUUUUAAGAUUUGGGGCAUUUUCAAUUUUAGACCUCGAACAUUUAUGCGCAUUUAAUUUUAGCCCAAAAUUCUCUUUUAAUAAUUUGUUUUACUUAUAAAUUAUCCCCUGGAUUUUGUUUUUUUCCUCUUGAUUAAAUUUCAGUUAUUUCUUUAGAAUAAUCAUGUUUCAACAUAUUAUUUUGAUUUCAUACUUUUGUGAUUAUUUUUUUUUUCAUGUGCGUACCUGUUUAUAUGGAAUACCUUUAUAUAUUAUUAUUACUACUAUAUGUAUUAUUUAUAUUAAGCUUUUCCUGUGUAUAUAUUACUUUGUAUAUUAUUUACUUUUAAUCUUUUAUGCAUAUUUUUUUUUUUGGAAUUUCAUUUACGCUACAUAUAUUUUUUUCCUUAUUUUUUUUUAUUUUGAUACAAUUCAAGCUUUCAUUCAAAAUAUUUACUUUAUAAUAUUUAUUUUAAAAAUUCAUUUGUACAUUACCAUUUGAUAUAUUAUUUCUUUUAUUUUUUUUCCCUAUUUUUUUAAAAUUCCUAUAUUUAUUACCUAUUUAAAAUUUUCUUAUAGUUUAUAUAGUUAUAUUUCCAAAUUUUCCUUUCCUAUUAUUUAUUUUAUUUUAUUUUAAAAAAAAACUUGUUAUAUUUUAUUUGGGUGAUUUAUUUGAAACUUUUUUUAAAAUUGGUUUCUUAUGCAUUGACCCUUGGACAUAAAUGGUGAUAUUUUUAUAAUAUAUGAUGUGCUGUUAUUGCAUGUAUUCUAAGUUGUUCCUUUGCAUUUCCCUAUUAUUUUAGAUUAUUCAUGAGAUGUUAUUGCCACGUGUUUUAUUCCUUAUGUUAUCAAGCUUUUUUUAUAAAAAUACAUUUCAUUUAUUUAUUACAUUUCAUUUGAAAUUUUAAACAAGGAAAUGUUCAGUAUUUGAAGAAUUCAAAGGAUCGUGCCCUAACGUACUAGGUUUCGCUUUCUUUGUUUGUUUUGAAUAUUCGAAUAUCCUUUUAAAGCUAAAACGCACGUUUUAAAGGCAAGAUCACAUUUGAGGGUCGAAAAUGUUGUGACCUAACGUACUGGAUGUAAUGUUUUAUCUCAAGAUGAGAUAGUCUUUAAUACACAUUUGACUUGCCUAAAUGUUUUAAAAGUCAAUAAAAGGAGGAUCGCAUUUUGAACUCUGUCCAAAUUUUUAAUUUUCGGCAUUUAAGACACUAAUUAAUUGAUUAAGUACCAAUUUUGGGCGUGUCGAGGGUGCUAACCCUUCCUCGUACGUAACCGACUCCUGAACCCGUUUUCUUAAAAUUCGUGGACCAAAAUGUUUUAUAAGGUGGCCCAAUUAUACCUCAAAAAGGAUUGGUGGCGACUCCCAAUUUUCGUUUUCAAAAGUCGAUUCCCGUUUUUCAAAAAAUGGUUUCGACAGACAUAAUAUAAAAAUGUUGAGGGUUAAAGUUGUUUAUCAUGCCAAUUUUAAAAGUUGAUAGGUCAUUUAUUCCAUCAAUAAUUUAAUAACUACCUACCAAAAAAGAUAAAAUCGAAUAAUUAGGUGACUAAUUUUUAACUUUUUAUACUUAGGUGAUCAAAAAACAAAUUUACCAAUAAUUGGGUGACUAUAAGUGUAGCUUAUCUUUUAUUUUAUGCCAAUGAAGCUUUUUGAAGAUAAAAGUACCGAAGUCUUUGUACUAAGAGUUAGAUUACAUUUUGCCCCAUUUGCUAAAAAAUAGGCAAAUUAGUCCUGUACAUUAAAUUAAAGAGCAAAUUAAUCCUUCUGUUAAAAUUACAUCCAUUUUUAUUGUUAAAAAUUAGUUUCUGUACAUCAACCUGAGGUGAAUAUGGCACGGCAUGUGUAAUUGUUCGAUUGUUCUGUCGGCCAUGCAGGUUUUUAACAGUAGAAACGGAUGAAACUUUUAACAGAAAUGACUAAUUUGCUUUUUGAUCUAACAUACAAUGACUAAUUUGUCAAUUUUUUUAAUAAAUGGGGAGAAAUGCAAUCUAAAAUUUGUCAAUUUUUUAAUAAAUGGGGAGAAUGCAAUCUAACUCCUAAAAGAACCGAACAUCUACCAAACUGGAAAGGAUGACAAGAAAACCCUCCCUAAAAUUACUUGCAAAAUUAAGAUUACAUGCAUAAAUAAGAUUAAAAAACUUGUAAAAGGACAAGACUAAAAAAUUUCAAAAAAUGAAGAUUUAUUAAACAAUGAAAAACAAAUAAAAAAAUAUAAAAAACUUAAGAUAACACGGGUUCAAACCGACUCGUGAAAUCAUUUAUUAUUCUGAAAUACUCUCAAAACAUAAACUGGCGAAAGAACUAUUUUAAUAAUAAAUAAGAAAGACUGAAACAAGAAAAAUAGAAAAUAAUGUUAAUAAAAUAUUAGGAUGCCCUUCUCUCAAAAACCGUGUGACGCAUAAUGAUUGAUCAUAACUGUUUUUUUCGCAAAUACUUUAAAAGCUAAAUAAUGCAUCCAUCACCCUUUGAAUUAGUUAAACCUAAGUCAUAGACUCUUGGGUUUGGAAAGACCUUCUUAGAAGAAGAAACAUUUACAUGCAAUGUAAGGAUGUUUAAAUCUGGGAAGGUAGAAACUGCUGGAUCAAUAUAAACCCCAACCUCCCUCUUGUUGACACUAUUAAACCACCUGCCUCAGCCAUUAAUGUUCAUUCUUGCACAGUCCCACACAUCAACAGUUGGGACCAAAAGAAAUCUCUAAACUUUCUUAAUCAUGAUCGGGACUAUGACCUUCUCAAUAGGACCCUUUCAAUCUAGGGGGAGAAGACAAAAUUGUAUGGAAAUAUGAUAUUAAUGGUUGCUUCUCCAUGAAGAGUGCCUAUGCCCAUCAGAUGCAACCACACUUGCAGUUGCACCUUUGCACAAAGCAUGGACUAAUCUAUGGAAGCUUAAACUCCUGCACAAGUUGCCUCCCAACUAAGGAGCUUCUUUCAAGGCGCCUUUCCAACGAUGAUAACCACUGUUCUUUUUGCAAAGAAAGCAAGGAGUCCAUUGAACACCUUUUCCUUGAAUGUAGUUUCGCUCGGGUUGUCUAGUUUGGUUCUUUUCUUUUCCUCCGGUCUGACUUUCUUCGUAUUUCUUCUUUGCCAUCAUGGUUUCAUUAGUGGCUCAACUCAAACAACAUUCACUCUCUUAAUUCAAGGAUAUUUUAAACUUGUAUGGCUUACACCCUAUACAUAAUUUGAAAUUUAAUAAAUGAACUCAUCUUCAAAAUGGCUGAUCCUUCUACAAUAAGAGUAAUCAUAAGGAUCCAAAAUCUCCAUAAUUCUAUAAUGAAUGCCUUCCCCUUUGAAAAUUUGCAAAGGCAUCAGUCAAGAAUUCGAAGAUCGGAUCCUUUUGAAAAUCCCCUUUCCAAACGGACUCUCUCUUCGCAUUGUCCAUUGCAGAGGAGUGCAAAAAAAAAAAAAAAAAAACACGGAAAAGCCAAAAUGAACCAAACCCAGAAAACCAAAAAAUUUAGUUUAUUCAGUUUUUAGGUUUAAUUAGUUUGUACGGUACAUUUUAAACUGAAUAAAUAUAUUAAGGCUAUAAGCCCAUAACCCAUUACAUACUCAAACCCAAGUUUAAACCUUAAGCAAAUAUCCAUUAAAACUUAAUACUUUUAUAAGCCCAAUUUCAUUAAUAUUAAAACCCAAUUGAUAACUUAAAAUUUUUUAUGAUAUUCAUUUUAAUUUUUAUCAUUUAAUAUAUAAAAAACCAAAAUUUAUAUAUACAAGUUAAGAAUAGUAGAAGACAUGAAAUUGCAUGUUGGUCAUGUGAGAAAUAAAAUAUUUCUUGAGUUCAUUAAAAAUUAUUUGAUUAAAUUUUUAAUAUUUUUAUAAUGAAUUUGAAAUAAAUAUAAAAUUAAAAAUAAUACGAUAUACUAGAUUGAAGAAAAAAAGACAAUUAUGUGAAAAAAUUAAAGGAAAUAAAAUUAUAACUACUUCAAUUAGAAUUUUAUCCAUCCAAAAACUAAAAAAUAGAAUUGAAUCAAACUGAUAAUUUUUUGUUCGAUUCAUUUAAUUUUACUUCCUAAAUCGAUUUGGUUUAUUCGGUUUACAUGUAUAAUUUGAUUUAUUUAAUUUUUUAGAUAAAAAAUUUUAACUGACCGAAUGCAGACCCUAAUCUAUUGCAGGUGAUAGCAUGGCUAACAGAUUUUCCAUUAUUCAAGACCAUAAAUUCUCAUAGUUUCUAUCCACUCAAAGCUACAAAAUUGCUUGCAAAAACCAGGUCGGACUUCUCACUCUCCAUUCUAUCCUUAUUUCACUAAAUAUCAUAAUAUUUCUGUCUAUAGGCUUCUCGGAGGUGACAAAAAAUGGUCGAAUAUCAUACGUGGGCAUACAAAAGUAGAAAGGAAGCUCCAAGCAGCGUUUGGUGACAUCAAGGAUCUCCUCCAAUUCGUCCCCAUACAAGAUGAGCCAAUGGACAACAACCAUUUAUCCUGAAAACCGAACGAUGGGCUACAGCCUACACCUACAUGUGCUUCAAAGGCGUUUGUUGGUUUUUAUGAUCUUAACCCUUAUUGUUUUAUACAAAAAAAAGAGGUAAUCUUUAAUUUUAAAAUUUUAAAAUUUUAAAUUUACUUUAAUUUAAAAUAAUUAGUUUCGAAGAUAAAAAAGGUGAAGAUUAAAAAAAAAAAUCUUUUUUGGUUAUUUAAUCUCAGGUCCUUGGAGCAUUAUUUAAAAUAAAAAUUAUUGACAAAAACUAACACGUAUCAAUAAUUAACAUUGUUAGUUAAAUGUACGGCAUUGAUAAAUGACAAUAAAGUUUGGUACCAAAAUUAUUUUUUUGAAAGUUUAGGUAUCACAUUAGAAGAGUUGACAAAGCCCAAAUACCAAAUAUGAUAUUAUCCAAUAAAAACUAAUAGUAAAAGUCCCAUAGAGGUCCUUGUAAUGGGAGUUUGAUUACAUUUUGAUCCAUUUAUUCAAAAAAUGGCAAACUAAUCUCUAUAUGUUAGGUUAAAGACUAAACCGGUUCUUUUUGUUAAAAAUUUCAUCCAUUUCUGUUCUUAAAAAUUGAUGUAGCUGACGGAAUAAAGUUACAUUUGACGUGCCACGUGUACCUCAUGUUGAUAUACAUGAAUUGAUUUUUAACAGUUGAAAUUGAUAAAAUUUUUAAUAGAAUGACCAACUUGGACUUUGAUCUAAUGUGCAGGGUUAAUUUACCCAGUUUUUCGUAAAAAUGAUAAAAUGCAAUCUGAUUCCUAAAUAUAAAGGCAUGCGUGAUAAAUUACCAAUAACUAACAUAUAAUGGAAAUUGCUCCACAAAUUUUGAACUUUAUUAUUUUAACCAAAUUCCCAUUAUUUUACAAUUUUUUUCAAAAACAAUAUUUGUUUUUCACUCACGCGUCAUAAUCUAUUUAUUUAUAUUAUUAAUAAAAAUAUUUACUUAGUUAAUGUUACAGGUUAAUCAUGUACCAAUUCGUUUAAAAAAUGACUAAUAUACUAUUUUAUUAAAUGAUUACUAUUACUAUUUUGAUGACCUUUUUGUCAUUUCAUACAUUUAUAUAAUUUUUAAAUAAAAAAAUUAAAACUAACCUAUUUAAGAAUUGAAUAUGUGUUUAAUAGAUUUAUAAAUAAAUUAUUUAUCACUACACUUAUAAUAAUUCUAAAAUAAAUUUUAAAAAAUAUUAAAUUUUAACAUAAAAUGUUUUCUCUCAUCAAGUUUUGGUCACAUGGACAUACGUGUGUAUAAAUAAUGUCACUAAUUGCAUUAGUAUCAUAAGCCAACCUCAUAUUUAAUUAUUUAAAAAAUAAAAUUUAAAUAUUGAAUUUUCUUUUCACUAACUUGUUAACUUUUUAACAUCUUAUAGAAAAAUAACAAUAUCAUGAUAAACAAUUAGAGUGCAUUUAAUAUUCUUAAUAUGAUAUAUUUACCUCUUUGAAAUAUCUUUUAUUUAUAAGUUAGUUUAUUUAUUUAUUUUAAUUUCGUACGUAUUGCAUAUAUGUUGUUAAUCAACUUGACACUAACUCAUAAUUAAUGAUAACAAAAUGCACAAUUAUAUCGUAUUUAAUAUUAUUUAUCAGAUGUGUUUAUAUGAUUAAUUUUUUAUAUAAUAUUAGGGGUAGAGGAUGAGAGUAGUACGGUUCCAUCCUUUUUUAAAUAAAUAUCUACCUUUUAAGGGUGAGAUUAAAUAAAUUAAAUAAUAAUCAUCAUAAAAAAAAAGGAUGAUGUAACAAGUUAUGAAAUGUAACGAAGCAGGACUGACGUCAGCACUAACCAGCCAGAAGUUGAACAAGGCUCGAACAAAAUCUAAGGGUUACAACGGUAAUUUCAGUUAUUACAAGUGUCGGUUACCUGCUUUUGUUUGGCCAAAUUUCAUGCGAAAGUCCCUGUACUAUGCGCAUCUUAGCAGAUUUAGUCUCAUUAUUAUAAUUUGAUCCUUUUUAAUUAUUUUAUUUUUUGAAAUAUGUAUUUUCAAUAUUGAGGUUAAUUUUUUUCCUUAAUUAUGUUAGAUAAAUUGAUAUGUUUUUUUAAACAUGUGAUGACGUAAUACAUAUACUUAGCAAUUUUAUAUAGUUGAACAAAUUUUUUGCACAUUUAAAAAAAAUAUAAUAACUGUCAAAUUAUACGAAAAAAAAGUCUGUCUGUAUGGCGCAUCACAUCAUGAUAUAUUUAAGAAAAAAAUUGAUCCAAUGUCAAAUUACUUGAAGGAAUUCACACAAAAAACUAGAUUUUGAACAACAAAACCUUUAGAAAUGAUAAAAUUAUAGUAGAAAGAUUAAUAUAUAAAAUAAUACAUAAAUCAGGGACCAUUAAUGGGAAUUUACCUUUUUGUUUUUAAAUGUCCGAACCACUGUUCCGAAAAUGUUUACCAAUUUUUGCAGGUGCGCUUUAUUUGGCGGGUACAAAAUAAAUAAUAAAUAAUAUAUAAAUAAAAUAAUCAAACAAGGCUAAAAUUAAAAAAAGAAAAACUUCGAAAAUCAAACCGUACGGUAUUUUUGAGAGAGCGAAAGAAACAAAGCUCCCACAUAGUGAAAAGGAAUCUCUUUUCUAUCUUCUUCUUCUUCUUCUUAGCAAAUUUCAGCUCUCGAUUGAGCUCUUUUCGAUCUUUCUAGAACAUUCCAUUUAUCUCCGUGGAACCUUCCAUUUUCUUUUUUUGUUUGAUUUUUUUUUUCCGGCGAAGUCGGUAAGGUUAUUAUUGUUCUACGGACCCCCCUCGCCCCCACCCACACAAUCAAAUCCCGUUUCGAUGGAGUUGUACGGUCGUAACCCGACUCGUAAUGGGUCUCAAUCCGGUUAUCAACCCGAAUGGAGCCCCGCUGGGCCCGAAACUGGACUGGAAGGUAUUUUUUUUCGUUCAUUUCAAUGUGUAUGGAUUUUUUCUUUUCCUUUUUCUACUCGCAUUGUGACGACGUUUCUCUGGUAAACCUUGUUUUAGGGUUUUUUUUAUUAAUAAUGCGGAGAGCGAAUUAGGGUUUUAUUCGUGUUUCUUUGUUGUGGUACAGAAUCGAUGUGGCAAUUGUCGGUGAGGGGCGUCGAAUCGUACCCGGAACGGCUCGGGGUGACUGAUUGCGUUUACUACAUGCGAACGGGGUUUUGUGGUUACGGUAAUAGCUGCCGUUACAAUCAUCCCCGCAACCGUGCCGCGGUAAAAUUUUCAAUCAUUAGUUUAUUUAGUUUUGUAUGCAAUGUUUGGUUCAGCAUUGAAAUGUUAUUGAUUAAUUUGUCUGAGAAUUUUACUGUGUAACUGAGUGAACUUAGUAUUAAGAACAAUGGAAGUGAACAAUGCGGUUUAAUCAUGGUACAUUUUGAUAAUAAUAGUGCAUAACUGAAGCAACCUUCCCUGCUAUGAUCUAUGUAUACCGCAAUAUCGAAAGAAAACUCUUAUAUGGUAGUUAUUAUUGUCAUGCCCAAAUUGGUUGUAAUCUUUUGUUGAGGAAACCUGUAAAAUUAAAAUGGUCGGCGUGUGCUUGGUGCUCUGGCAUGUACUAUGGAGCUCAAAUCGGUCAUUACUCCAUAAUUUGAGGGAGCAUCUACAUAAAAGAAGAGGAAAAUGUAGAGAGUCACCCUUGCUUGCCUUUAUGGAGGCCAUCACCUUAUACAGAAGGCAUAUAAGUAGCAGGUAGUUACUAAAAUAUCCUUAGAGUCCUUAUGGGUAUAACAAUCAUUACUGAUUAUGUUUUCCUGAUAAUUUCAUUCAUAUAAUAUAUAUUUGUUGCUUAUCAUGUGAAGGGGCUUUUAUGCAAAUGCCUUUUUUAAUGCAUUGUUUCCCUUUAAAUAGAAACAGGAAACUACAAUUUAGAAGUUAUGCUUGACAUCCUCUGUUCCGAGUUUAAAUGAUUUGAGUGACUUGCAACUUAAGUCUGUUUCUUUACCGACUUCCCUAACACUGGUCAUUCUGUUGGCUCAUGUCUUACACUCUAUUUCAUACCAAACUAUCAGAUGCCAAGCAAGUUGGUAGAUGUUAUUUCAGUAUAUUUUGAGCAAAAGAUUUCUUUUUUUAUUAUGUGGUAAGAGAAUCAAGUGAAGUAUACCUUGGAAUUGUUUUUCUUGGACCUACCUCAAAUUAACAGUUGAAACUCAGGUGUUCUUUAUUUAUUGCAAAGGAAAUAGAAUAACAUGAUUCAAAUAAGUUAUUUGCUACCUUCAUUUAUAGUUAAAAAUGAAUUGAGGAUAGUCCUUGAUAGAAUUGGACUAUGUAAGAGAAUUUACUUCGGUCAUCUGGCCUGUUGUUUUAAACUGAGGCAGGAAUUAUCUCGUUUUCAGCUUUAAGUUUUUUUCAAGAGUUGAAUCCCUUAUUUUUAUUUGGUUCUGAUGCCAUUUAGGUUGAGGCUGCAGUAAGAGCAACAGGGGAGUACCCUGAACGACCAGGGGAACCUAUAUGUCAGGUAGAAGAGUAAAUUAGUUUUUGAAAAAUGCAAAAUUGUUUUUCUGUGAGUCAACUCUGCUAAUUAAAGCUGCAAAGACCUCUCUUUUUAACUUGUUUCUUUUCCUUUUUCUCUUUUUGCACGUGCAGUUUUAUUUAAAAACCGGAACCUGUAAAUUUGGUGCAUCCUGUAAGUUCCAUCAUCCAAAAGAUGGAGGUGGAUCCUUUAGCCAUGUUUCAUUGAACAUGCAUGGAUACCCAUUACGACCGGUUUGUAUAGUCUCUUUUCUUGCUUUUUCCUCAGUUCUUAUUCAUAUGUUUUUAGGAUUCUUAAAACAACUAGGCAUCAAUUUGAUGCACGUCCAUUAUCAGGGUGAGAAAGAAUGCUCCUACUAUUUGAAAACGGGGCAGUGCAAAUUUGGUAUUACUUGUAAAUUCCAUCAUCCUCAACCAUCUGGAACAUCAAUGUCAGCAUCUGCACCUCAAUUUUAUCAGCCGGUGCAGUAUGGGGGGGCAUCUACCAAUGUGAGAGUGGCAAGGCCUCCACCUUUACCUGGUUCAUACGUUCAAGGGGGAGCUUAUGGUCCUGUACUGUUUUCCCCAGGAGUGGUUCCUAUUCCGGGUUGGAGUCACUACUUGGUAGGGUGAUCAGCAAGUUGCAUUAAAAGAUAUAUCAAGACUAUAUGCGAUUCCUGAAUCUUUUUUGGCUUACUUGGUGCAGGCACCUGUAAGCCCAGUGCUCUCUCCUGGUGCACAACCUGCUGCUGGAGCAACUUCUCUCUAUGGACUAACGCACCUAUCUUCUUCAACACCUUCACUUGCAGGUCCUUAUUCCUCAUUGCCCUCUUCUACUGGCCUUUCAAGGAGUAACCAGAUGGAACAUACAUUUCCAGAGAGACCUGGUGAACCUGAAUGCCAAUACUAUUUGAGGACUGGGGACUGUAAAUUUGGAUCAUCUUGUAGGUAUCAUCAUCCUAGAGACAGGGUUGUGCCACAAACAAAUUGCGUCCUCAGCCCAAUGGGACUUCCUUUACGUCCAGUAUGAACAUUCUCAUUACUUCUUAUUAUAUUGUUUUCUUCUGUUAUGAUAAUUACUCUCAUUUAGAGCGGGCAUUUAAGAGAUCAUGACUUAAAGAUCUUGCAUCAUAAAUUGGGUUUGGUUAGGCUAAUAUGUUUUAAGUACCUGUAUUAUCUUUGAUUGUCCUGUUAGUUCAAACUUCCCUAUUAUCUGCUAUGCAGUUAGAAGUUUUUGUUCCUUGGGGAGGAAAUAAAGAGACGGCCCUUCAGCCCUAGCCCCUCUUAAUUAAUUUUACAAUUUUCUUUAAGAGAACUUCUACCCCAGUAAAAUAUAGACUAGGUGUGCUUCAUUUAGUGCAGGAUUGAGAGGCUUCAGUAAUGGUCAUCUUUAAUGGAUUUGAGAUUUCUUCAUGCACUAUCGACUGCUUUAUUUCUUACAUCCUGCCAAGAAUCUAUUGUUGAAGGUUUAUGCUGGCCUCAAAACUUAGGAAUCGAACUAUUUCUUUCUAGAUGGUUUAGGUUGGUCAAAGCUUCAUAAUGAAUAUCGCGUUCAGAGCAGUUUAGUAGAAGAAAUGACUAUUAUUUACAUUUGUUGGUAAGUUUGAUGAUUGAUGAUAUUAGAUUUGGUCUUUAGAGAAGGUGUAUGAUGGAGCAUUUUUGUCAGGGCUUCUCAAGGCUAUGUUACUUUGACUAUUCAUUUUCCUUGAAGUGUGGUGUCCAACACUCAUUUGCUACACAUAGUUGGAAAUUGUAUAGGGAUAAAAUCCUCCAAAUAUAUUGGAAAAAUAUUGAGCAUAUCCAUGUUAGACGCAUAGCCAUAUCUGACACUCAUCCCAGAGUCUGAGUAAUAUAGUCUCAGGGUUUCUAAUAUUCUUGUUGUCAGAAGAGAUGAUUAGGAAGAUUCCACCAAUUUAUGGUGGAGAUUAGUAUGUUUUUUUGUUUCAAUUGGAGAAGCUAGGCAACUUAACUCCAUCAAGGUUCCCUAUGUUUUAAACUACACAUAGUUAAGGUUUUAUUACUGUUUUUUUUAAUUUCACUCAUGUUUUUGGCUAGAUAGACUUGCGGUUGAGUUAAUAGCUGCCUUUAGCUUUACAUACUAAGGUUCUUAAUCCAAUGCUUCCUAAUCAAGUGCUGCCUUUGAUUGGGCACCCUCACAGCCACUCUCUUCAACUUGGCCUGAUGAGACAAAAUUAUGCUAUGUGAGGGUGUGAUUAAAUGGUUUUUACCCACUUUUUCAUUUACAUUUCUCGUAAUGUGAGUCUUGAUUAGCUAGGGCUGAUCAAGUAUGGACUAUGGAGUGAAUAGUAAUUCAUCAACUUGUAAUUUAUAGUUUUAGUAACAUAUGCUUCGGUCAUUCACUUUUGCAGGUGAUGUUUGUUAUCUAGUCCUGAAAGAAGUUUUAUGUUUAUAGCUCUUCUUGAGUUAUGCUAUUAAGCAAUUCUAGCAUGAUUAUAUACUUGAGUCAAAUUGUAGCGUUUUAAUGGAUGUAAAGCAAUAACAAUGCUAUUCUGCAUUAACAUUUGCUAGUUCUGGUUAUAGCUAUUGCAUCCCUUGAAUUUCAGAUCGAUCAAGACUUUAGUGAUCAUAUAUCUUGUAAUUCUAUUAUAAUAGCAAUUAUGUACUAUCUUGUGCUUUAGUAACUCUACUCUGUAAUACUGGGAAUGAUGUUUUUGACACAUUACAUUUUGCUUCUUAAAUUGCAUACAGGAUUUUGUCCCUUGCAACUUUUCUCAUUUUUUUAGAAAAUAUUUUAAUUUGAUUUUUUUUAUUUCCUGUAAACAGGGGGUGCAGCCUUGUGCUUUCUACUUGCAGAAUGGGCACUGCAAGUUUGGGUCCACAUGCAAAUUUGAUCAUCCGGUGGGAACAAUGAGAUUUAGUCCAUAGCAGCGUUUCUCAUUGAUACACCAGUUGCCGUGUUCUACUGGGUCUUUACUGGCUACAUUGGCCUAUCCUGUUCCCCUUUCAGAUUUUCAGCUUUCAAGCACGAGACAGGAUUGUGAGGUUUGUCACUCAAAUCGAUGCAAAAUGCUAGAGCCAUUUUUCAUUUUCUUGCCGAUGUGAUUUCACCAUCCUUGAUAUAUUUUCUGUUGAUAGAGAUCUCAGUAUAUUAUAGUCAAUUGUGCAAAGUUAUAUUUCUCAGAAGCAAGGGUUGUCAACAAAUCUGCCUUACCACACAAUCGGACCACUAUUUUAUGCCUCUCUUGUCUUUAUUUACUGUCAAAUAUAAUCUGGAAUAAGCUUUUGUAGCAAACAGUGUAUGAACUCCUAUCUACCGCUCUCUUCCAAAUAAAUCGAAGCAGAGAGCCGUUAUAUCAGGUUAGCCUCUGACUGUACUUUCAACUUGAUGUUUUAUAUGCUUUGUUCAUUUGCAAUGAGGAAUUGAAGAAUGAUUUCCACUUCCCUGUAUGUCUUAAAUCUUCUCCAUGCCUUUUUAUCACUUGAUUUUACAGAUUUCCCUGCUGCUUAUUUCUGUUUAGGCAGAAUUAGCAAUUUAUGCAUUUGUGCCGUGUGUCGUCCUCGUGUCACUUUCCUGUCACAAUCGAGUUUUUGGUAUUAUAUGUUUUAUAUAAAUUUUGACACGUUAAUAAAGCAUUUUUUCUGUGUUUUUUCGACUCUUAGUUUCUUUUUUUUUUUGCAUUGCUCAUGUCCAGCAUUCAUAUCAGAUGCUCAUGUCUAACGAUGGUAUCUGAUGUAUAUCCGGACAUAAUUAUGGGGCAUGAUUCUUAAAGGACCUUUCAAAAUAAUGGGAAAAUUUGCAAAGAAAUGAGCACACCUUUGUUGGAUACAUGUAUGUAUCCUUGCAUGCUAAGGAGAUGAUACUAAACGGCAAAGAUUCUUUUUGGCAUUGUACUUGUUUAGUUGGUGACCCAAUUUUUUGGGCUUUUUUUUAUGGUCACCCAAAUAAAAAUACUUGCAAUUUGAUCAUUGUCAUUAGAGAAAUUUUCAUUUUAAUCACCUAACUGUUAAAUCUAUAAUUGUUAAUUAUAUAAUUGAGGCUGACUGUGCACGACACAUCAUUUUUGGCAAAUUUUUUUAUCUCAUGUUACUGUACAUCUUCUUUCUCACUUUUUUAUCAAAAUAACUCAAAUAAUUUAAUUAAGUAUUAAAAUGACCUUUUUUUAAUUAAACACGAAAAUGAUCUUAAAUUUACAAUAAAAGUUCGUGAAGUCAAAUUAUAUGGUGUUACUAAUUUGUCAUGUCAGUAAAGAGCAUAAAAAAUUAAUUUUUUAAUGGAGUUAUAGAAAUAUUGUAAUUUUUGAAAAAAGGGACUUAAAAACAAUUUUUUAAAUUUUUUGGUGGAGCCAAAGACUUGAGACGCUUCUGAUUUUUUAUUACUUUUUUUAACUUGUCUUUUUUUUUUUAAGUUUUAUACUUUUUCUUAUUUUAUUUUUUUGUUAUUAAUUUAAAAAAAUUUGAAAUGUAUAUUUGAAAUGUUUUAUAAUAUAUAUUUUUUAAAGUUUUAAAUAUUAUUUUUAAAUUAUUUUUUUUAAAUUUUAAAUGUAUAUUUUUGAAAUUAUUUCUUAUAAAUUUUAAAAAUAUAUAUUUGAAAUCAUUUUUUAAAAUAUUAAAUAUUAUUUUUAAAUACUGAAUAUAUUUUUAAUAAUAUUUAAACAUUUAAAAUUUUAUAAAUUUUUUUUAAAAAGGUUUAAAUAUCUUUAAAAAUAAUUAAAAAAUUAUAAUUUAAAAAAUUCUGAAAAAAUGAGGUACUUUAUAAACAAUUUUCUAAUUUUUAGUGGAACUAAUUUAAAUGGCGCCACAGAAUCUAUGCUGAUACCUUGCUUUUGAUUUUCUUUAAUUUGUUUUUUUUUUUUACUUUUUUUUAACUUUUGUCUUUUUCUUUAAUUUUUUUUAAGUUUUAUAUUUUUUCUUAUUCUAUUUUGUUUAUUUAUUAGAUUAAUUUUAAAAAAAAAAAUUAUAUUUGAAAUGUUUUAUAUAUAUAUUUAAAAUUUUAAAUAUUUUUUAAAAUUUUAAUUUUUUUUAAAAAAUUAAAUAUAGUUUUUAAUAAUAUGAAAUAUUUAAACAUUUAAAAGAUAUGAUCUUUCAAAUUUAUUAUUGUUUUAUUUUUUAAUAAUAUAAAACAUUUAAAAUUUUUAAUAAAAAAUUAAAAAUGGUUAAAUAUAUUUAAAAAUAAUUAAAUAAUAAUAAUUUAAAAAAUUCUAUGUAAAAAUUGAUAUUUUUAAAGAUAUUUAAACCUUUUUAAUUUUUUUAUAAAAAUUUAUUUAAAAAUUUUAAUGUUUAAAUAUUAUUAAAAAAUAUAUUUAAUAUUUAAAAAAUAAUAUUUAAAAUAUAGAAAAAUUAAUUUCAAAAAUACAUUUUUAAAAUUUAUAAUAAAUAAUUUAAAAAUAUAUAUUUAAAAUUUUAAAAAAAAAUUUUAAAAUAAUAUUUAAAAUUUUUAAAAAAUAAUAUUUAAAAUUUUAAAAAAUAUAUAUUAUAAAACAUUUCAAAUUUUUUUAAAAUUAAUAACAAAAAAUAAAUAAAUAAAAUAAAAUAAGAAAAAAUAUAAAACUUAAAAAAAGAAAAAAGUUAAAGAAAAAGACAAAAGUAAAAAAAUCAAAAGCAGCGUGUCAGGUCUGGUGGUGCCAUUUAAAUUAGUUCCACCAGAAAAUAAAAAUUAUUUUGAAGUCCCCUAUUUUUCUAGAAAUUAUAGUAUUUUCCUUGUAUUUAUACAAGUGGCGCCAUUUUACAUGGUUCCACUAAAAAAUUAAUUUUUUAUGCUCCCUAUUGACGUGGCAAGUUGGUGGCGUAAUAUAAUUUGGCUCCACCAACUUUUAGUGUAGAUUUAGGGUCAUUUUCAUGUUUAAUUAAAAAAGUGAGUCAUUUUGAUACUUAAUUAAAUUAUUUGGGUUAUUUUGAUAAAAAAGCCUCUUUCCCUUCACACCACACUACCCGUACUUUCACCCUUCUUAUUUUUCCUUUGCUUUUAAGUUUCCAACUUGUUCCAAUAAAUAAAGAGAAAAAAAAUUCCAAUUUCUAAGGAUUGUAGUAAGAUAUGGAAAUUAAAUAAAAAACCCAGUAUUAAAAAAAAGACAACCCAAAUCAACAACAAUACUAAAUGAACAUUCUUUAUCCAAAAAACCAAGACUUAACUUUAAUUGCUAAAAAAGAGCUCAGCUGUUGUUUAUCCAUUAAUAUGAAGAAAACCAACAAUUGAUCUAAAAUCAAACUAUAUGUUAAAAAAAAAAUUAAACAGAUCUAAGAAAAUUCAGAUCAAAACCACCAAAAACCUUUUUCUUCCCAUUGGAUAUAUGGAAAAAAAAAAUGAUAUUAUAACUGAACUUCAAAAGAGAGGAUCAAGGUCAACAAUGGCAACACAGGGAUGUAGCGUAAACUCAAAAACUAAAACAACCCCAUCAAGAGAUAAAACAACACUCUUACUUUUAGCCUAGAGUAUGUGUAUGUACAUAUAUACACAGUAUUCAAAUUAUGAAUCUGGCCAUCUAUUUUAGACAAAAGACAAAAGUCAAAUAUAAAUAACAGUUAGUUAGAUCAUGAAAAUUUUAAUACAAAAAUAAAAUAUUAGUUAGCUUUCUGUUGAAAGCAGGUUUUCAUACGUGAAUAGUGGCGACUACUUUAAAACAAAAAGGGAGAUUCUUGCCUGUUUAUUCUUUUUUUCAGUUUCUUCUCUUCGAUUUUGUAAUGAAUUUCUCGAUAAAAAUGUGACAUUCCAAUGCUCCAAACUCUGUACCAUCGAUCACCUUCCUCUUCCUGUCAGCUUUGGUAUCCUCCUCUUCUUUGGUAGCAUCACUUAAAAGCUUGUAACAACGAGGCUUUUAGGUGCUUAGAACUGGGCAGUCUCUGAAUUUUGACACAACAUAACAUGAACCAUAAAAGAUAGAUUUAAAAAAAAAAAAAGAUGGUGCGGUGGCUGGAAGCAAAGUGCAAAGAAAGAAGAAGAAUGUCAGCGGGAAGGGUGGUGUGGAGGGGAAGAAGAUGAUGAAGAGUGGAAGAGGAGGUAAAAAAUUGGUCAAAAAUGAUGUGGCGUGUAUAGUUGGCUGCCUUUAGAGAUUUAACGUUUGAGUGACAAAUGAAAAAAUUUUCUAACAACAAUGAUCAACUUGCAAGUAUUUUUAUUUGAAUAACUAAAAUGAAAGCGCUAAAAAAGUUGGUGAUCAACUAAGUAGUUUAUCUUACUUUUUAUUUGUUAUAAAUGUUCUUGAAUGACAUAUAAAUUUUGUAACAACCCCAAACCCAACUUAGGCGUUCAGACCAAGUCCAAAGAGUUAUAUUGACAUUACUAGAGAAAUCCAUUUUUAUAACACAAAUAAAGAAACCAUUCGACAAAUUAUAACAGUUAUAAAGGUCAGCCAAUAAUCCAAUAACCUUAAAGUCAUAUUACUAGAGAAUGCUGAAAUUACUAAUAAUAAUAAUAAUAAAGGGUGAUAAAGGAAGUUGACCGAGCUCCCGCCAUGCUGACCCGAUCAAGAUUGUGCAUUACCUAAAAUUUAGUCAAUAACAAAAUGAGUUGAAAACUCAGCAUAUAAUCAUAAUAGGUUCAUCUAAAAGCAUAAUCACAUAGUAAAUUAUUGAAUCUCAUAUGUCAAUCAGAAAUAAAGAAUAGUUAGUGCAGAUUUAAAGUAUUAGUUAUGCAUUAGAACGAUUCCAGUUCAUAUACGGUACAAAUCAGGAACAGAUGCAGUUAUUCCUACCCCUACAACUACAUGCCAUCUUCGACAGUACAAACACACCAUUAAAGGCAUUUAAUACCCAUCCAACCUUACACACCGGAAGUGUCAAUCUGACACGUUCAAUGAGGUGCAAAUUAGCUGCCAGAUCGAAAUAUGAUAAAAUGCCAAAUUCACAUAAAAUCGUGGCUUUGGCUAUUGAAUCAGAACAGAUCACUUCAUCCUUUACAAAAUUCCCAUCCCAUACAGUGCAGAUUACAGAUAUCAAGAACAUAUGCUCAGUUAUUCAGACUCAAUUCAUAAUUAAGUGAUAUUUAUCAAUAUCAUCGACAGUCUUCAUAAUACGUAUACAUUUAUAUAACCAACACCUCAGUCUCAAAACAUCAAAUAGCACUCAUACAAUCUAAUUAGAUCAUAAAUACAUUGUGGAAGGCCAAUGUUCGUGUUAGACGACGCUUACGACCUCAGAGACAAGUAUUAGAGUUUUUCCCACAAACCACAAGGCUUGACACACGCCCGUGUGCCCACUCGUGUGUCUCACACGGCUCGGCAUACGCUCGUGUCAUCUGCUCGUGUGGUCCUAAGUCGUAAAUAAUGAGUUACAUGGCCUGGACACACGCCUGUGUCCCUAACUCAUGUGUUCCUUAUGUUGUACUUAGUGAGUAACAUGGCCUUGACACACGCCCAUGUCUUUGGCCCGUGUGAACUCUGUACUAAUAUAACCACACACGGCCUGGACACAUACCUUUGUGGCUCGUAUUUGGUGAACAGUAUGUUACAUGACCUAACACACGGCCGUGUGGCAUUGAUAGUCAUAUUUUUUGGCAUUCAAAAUUUAUAAAAACUUAGGUUUUUGGUACGCACUUGAAGUGAUUUCUAAGUAGGAACAAGUUAUAGGAUCCUCGAAGCCUAAAACGAUCAUCCAAUAACUCAAUCAACUAAAUUUAUCGACAAUGAUGCACAAUUAUGCGCAGAACACUUAUGUCAAAAGUUUCGACACAAAACCUUCAACGAAUUCAACACUUACUAAAAGACCAACAACAAUUACUCGAAUUGACUUGCCGAGAUUCGCUACUUCUAACACCUACUCCUAAAAUAAGGAAACCAAAAUCAUUUAACUAAGAGAAUUUAUCUAUUAGCGCAAAACUAUCUCAACGACACGAAACCGUCGUUUCUUAGAACUUUUGACAGAAUUACACAAUUAACUUUCAGUUGAUAUCACAGAAACGUACUUACCCAACCCGAACAUCAGAUCAGAAGAAGAAGUCCAACAAUCGAUAACAGAAAUGUCCAAGAGAUAUUGUAGCGACGUAAAAAUUUUGCUUGGUCUCUAAUUGAGGUGACUUAUUGGAAAUUUGAAAACCGAUUUUCGGUUUUUAUUAAAAAAUGGAGUAGCCACCAAUCUUUUUUCUAGGUGUGAUGGGACACCUAAUAAAUUUAUUUUUUAAACAAAAAGAAGGCCGAGUUUAGGUCUACGUCAAAAGCCAGAGAAGAAAUAGGGUUCGGGAGUCGGUUACGCUCGAGGAAGGUAUUAGUACCCUCGCGACGCCCAAAAUUGGUAUAUUGUAAAACAUGCGUUGUCUUGAUUCUAAAAAAUACGAGUUCAAUUUAAAUUUUAAUCGUGAUCCGGCCAAAACACGAGAAUUUUUUAUAAUUUCGAUCUCUUUUGAGAAGGACGUUCCCUUUUUUACACGAGCCGAUGAUAUUCACCCAACAUAGCGAUAAAAUCAACGACUUAAUGUUAAAUCGGCACGUUACCUUAUUUAUUGAAAUUAAUUUAAAGACAUGAAUGAAAAUAUUUCUAGAUAAAACAAAUAAAACUAAAAGAAAACUAAAAUUGAUGUUGCACUAUGGCAUGAACUACUAAUGCUAAACUCGGAAUAGACAAAUAUUAAUAAAAAGUUAAGAAUAUACGAAACAGAUAAUAUAUAGAACAUUAACAAUAUACAUGCAAUAGUAAUAGUAUAAAACUAUAAUAAUGCAUAUGGUAUUAAACAUGAUAGUAAUAGCAUUAAACACGAAAUAAAAUCAUGAAUAUAUAUAAACAUAUAAUAAUAAAUGAAGUGACGUAAACAUAAUAUUAAAAAUACUAAUAGUGCUAUAUAUAUAAAUUAAAGUAUGUGUAAUGAUAAGAGUGAAAGGUGUAUACAUAGUAAUACUAAAAUACAUACGUAAUAUAUACCUACAUAAUAUAUAAAAUGAACAUAUACAAGAUACAUUAUAAAUACUAAUAACAUAAAAAAUAUAUACAUUAAUAAUACUACACAAAUAUAUACAUAUAUUUUAAAAUAAAUACAUAAUAAUAUUAGAAUAAAAUAAUAAGUGUAAUAAUAAAUAUAAGGAUAUAUGAAAAUAAUACUAUUUAUAAAAAUAUAUAUACGUAUAAUAAAAUACAUAUACUAAUAUUAAUAAUAAAUAUAAUAGGAAUAAAAAUAAAUAAAAUAAUAGUAAAUAUAUGAUGUGGUAUUAAAAAGAUAUAUAUGUAAUAGUAUUCAAGAAGAUAUGAAAAAUAAAAAUAUACAAAUAAUAUGGUAUUAGAGGUAUAUACAUAACAUAUAUAAAAAUGCAAUAUUUAAAGAUACAUACACACAAUAUAUAUAAAAAUGUUAAAAUAUUUACAUAGUAUAUACAUAUUAAAAAUAAUGCUAAAAGACAACUCUUAAUAUUACUACAUAACUACAUACAUAUAUAUUAAAGAUAUAUACACAAAAUAGAACACAUACUAACAUUGAUAAGAACAUAUACAAGAAAUAGUAUAAAACGUAUAACUAAUAAUACUAAAGAUAUAUACAUAACAUAUAUAAAAACAUAUACGAUACACAUAUAUAUUAGAAACGACAAUAAUGUUAAAAAAACUAUUAAUAGUAUUACAUGAAUAUACAUAGAUAUAUGUAUAUUAAAGAUAUAUGCAUACAUAAUUAACAUAUACUAUUAAUAAUAAUAAUAAGAAUAAUAUAAAUAAUAGUAAAUAUAAUAAUAUUAAGUAACAUUAAAAAUAAUUAAUUUAAUAAUAAAGAUAUGAAAAUAACCUGAAAGGACUAAAAUUGGAUGAAGGACAGAAUUCUGGGGCGAAUUUGAAAUAAAGAGAAAGAGAACGGGACCAAAUUAAACGCGCAAAAAAUAGGGGAGGGACCAAAAGCACAAUAAACCCAUUUGCCCCAAAACGCGCAGUAUUAUGGGGACUAAAUCAAAAAUCGAAGUAAACUAUUGGGCCAAAUUGAAAAUAACAACAAAUUUGAUUGUAAAAUCAUAAAAUGCGGAAGGGUCAAGAGCGCAAUUAGCCCUUCUGCUAUAAAAACACGCGGAUCCUAGCGGGUCGGGUCGAGUCGGUCCGACCCGGGGCCAAAAGGACGUCGUUUUCUUUUAAACGGGGGGACCAAAACGCACCGUUUUGGUCCUUAUAAAAGACAAAUUUUUUUUAAAAAAAAUCAUUUGAACGGGGGAAAGAAAAAAAAAGAGGGAGAGGGGGAGGGAAGAGAUUUUCGGCCAUGGGCUGGUCAUCGGUCUGAUCGCCGGACCGUCGCCGGCGCCGGCGCUGGCCACUGUGCGUGGUGGCAGGAAAAUGUAAUUUUUCUUUUUAUUUUUUUAAUUAUUUGUUUUAUAUUUUUUAUGUUUUAAUAUAUAUAUGUGGAAAAAUGAAACCAAAACAGAAUUUAAAAUGAAAAAAAAAAUCACCUUAGGCUUUUCACACUUUUGAUUCUUCGAUCUUUGGUAUUCGGUUUGCUUGGAUGCUAUUCUUGUAUUUAAACUGAUUGAAUUGCUAUUUUUACUCUGAAAUCGAAUGUUUUUUCUUAUUUUUGUGUUUGAACUGCCAAACCCAAAACAUAAUUUAGAUUUUCCUUUUUAUAGCCUUUUACAAUGCCCUCAAUCUUAUUGUUGCGUGUUUACUUGACUUUGCAAGUAGGUUGAUGGCCGGUGGAGGUGACCAUGGGGCAGAUGGCGCCAGGGGAUGGUGUUGCAGCAGGUAGGUGGUGGCAGAGGCAAGUGGGGGGAGGCAAGUGGGGAGCUAGGGUUUCUGGAUUGGGCUUGGUUGUUGGGCUAGGUUGAUUUAGGUUAGUAUUGGGCUGAGGGCGUAAAAUGGGUCUGUUAGGUAGGUUUGGGUAGUUUUUGAUUUAGUUUGGGUUUUGAUGUAAUGGGUUUAGUUAUUGUAAUUGGGUAGUGGGUCUGGUUGUAACUGGGUUUUGGGUUAUUUGUAUUCAGGCCCGGGCAAUUUGGGCUUCUACAGCUGCCCAUCUUUGCUCAUUGUCGUGCAACGGGAAUAGAGCAAAGACUCUCAAAGAAGACAAAACUUGCCCGGUCCUGCUGGGUCUUGACUUGCUUUGGAGCUCCUCUUUUCCAAAUAGUCUCGUUCUAAUCCACCAUAUCUUGUAGCUUCAAUCUAUUCAAAUGUAACUUCAAGGAUAUGAGAUUUGUGGCUUCGAUCUGCUUCACUGUAACUUCAGCAAGAUAAGAUCUACAGCUUCAAUCUGCUCUUCUAUCGCUUUAGUGAGAUAAGGUUUUGGGUCUUCUCUUCUGCCACUUCAGAAAGGCAAGAUCUGAUAUCCUCGAUCAGCUCCACUGCAACUUCAGAUAUACAAAAUCUGGUGUUUCCAAUCAGCUCCAAUCUUUAUUCUUUACUCGGCACGUGAUCCUGAGCUCAACUCAUUUCUCGCAAUAUGAAUUGACUCUUUAAAAACAGACAUUAAAAACAGAAAUUGAAAAUAGCUCAGCGCGUGAGCCAAUGCGCAACUCACCCUUCGCAAUAUGAGUUGUUUUUGAAACUUAAUCUAAAAAGUAGAUUUUGAAAAUACCUCGCCAUGUGACCCGAUGCUCAACUCACUUCUCACAAUAUGAGUUGAUUUUUUUUUGAAAAAAAAGAAACUGAAAUACCUCAGUAUGUGAGCUGGGGCUCAACUCAACUCUCGCAAUAUGAGUUGAUUUUUUUGAAAAGCAGAAAUUGAAAAGAAGAAAUUGAAAAUUCCUCAGCGUGCCAUGAGGCUCAACUCAUCUCUCGCAAUAUGAGUUAAUUUUUGACAAACAGAAGUUGAAAUUACCUCAGCGUGUCCUAAGGCUCAACUCACCUCUCGCAAUAUGAGUUGAUUUUUUUUUUGAAAGAUAGAAAUUGAAAAUACCUCAACGUGUCUUGAGGCUCAACUCACCUCUAGCAAUAUGAAUUGAUUUUUGAAAAACAUAAAUUGAAAAACAGAAUUUGAAAAUACCUCAGCGUGUCCUGAGGCUCAACUCACCUCUCGCAAUAUGAGUUGAUUUUUGACAAAUAGAAAUUGAAAAUACCUCAGCGUGGCCUGAGGCUCAACUCACCUCUCGCAAUAUGAGUUGAUUUUUUUGAAAAACAGGAAUUAAAAAUACCACAGCGUGACCUGAGGCUCAACUCACCUCUCGCAAUAUGAGUUGAUUGAUUUUUUUUGAGUGACAGAAAUAGAAAAUACCUCAAUGUUUCUUGAGGCUCAACUCAUUUCUUGCCAUAUGAGUUUAAUUUUGAAAACAGAAAUAAAAACAUCAAAAUACCAAAACCUGUCAUCUGGUGGAACUCAUGUGUCUUUUCCUUUGAUUCAGUACAGCUAUCAUCACAUCCUCUUGCUCUACUGGAGUAUCUGUAUAUGUCAUGCAUGAUGUUAUCAUGAUAUGCACAUGUUUGUCUUAAAUGCCUUUAUGCCUACAUGAUUUUGCUAUGCGCUUCAGGCAUGUUUGUCGUAUGUCCUUUUUCGUCACGAUUUUUGUGAUGAUCUGUAUUCAUUAUUUCGGCUCUUGAUUUUUUCUUUAGGCCCUGUACCAAUCCUCAAGCUUCACGAGUAAUCUAUGUUUCUCAGAUAUCACUCUUUUGCCCCUGGUUGAACUUUGUCCUUGCUUUAAGGCUCUUGUACUUAUCAAAUUCUUAUCCGGGUAAUGCUUAACAUUUCUUUUGUUUAGAGUAUGUCAUUUCACUGUUUAUCAUGUAAAUGAGCCACAUAAUGAGAUGCAUGAAAAUGGUCAGGUAGGGACAAAAGGAUACCUCACAUUUAUUCAUUUCAAAUACAGCAAACAAAGAAAGUUAACCAAUGAUAGUGAAAAAGUGUCAAAGAGAAAAGGGAUUGCAUUCAACGGGUACGAAUACUUUAGAUAUUCAACGCAUGAACUCUUCCCCGUUCUUCAGUAAAGAAUAUUUUCGAGCAUGACUUCUUGCGUAGAUGAUUUCGAGCUGCUGAAAAUGCUUCAAAUACUGUAGUCUUGCUGUUUGACCCACUAUUCAACCGCCUUGCUCUUUAAGCCCGGGUUUGCCUUAUUAGAAUGCCCUUUUGGGUUUUCAUCCUAAUCUUUUGUGUUAAUCAAGAAGCCCUUUUCGGGUUUUCACCUUGAUAUAUAUAUAUUUUAGGCAUAAUAUUUCUUCACAGUAUUUGAAUUCACUGGAUUAGGUAACUCCUUCCUAUCCAUCUCAGUGAGAAUCAAAGCUCCACCUGAGAAUGCCUUCUUUACGACAUAUGGUCCUUCCCUAUUUGGUGCCCAUUUUCUUCGAAAGUUUUUUUGUAUUGGGAGAAUCUUUCUCAGCAUGAGUUCUCCUUCGUGGAAUGCUCUUGGCUGUACUUUCUUGUCAUGGGCCACGAUCAUUCUCUUCUGGUACAUCUAUCCGUGACAAAUUGCCUUUAAACGUUUUUCUUCGAUGAGGUUUAACUGGUCAUAUCGAGCUCGAACCCAUUCUGCUUCCUCUAAUUUUGACUCCAUUAAGAUUCGUAGAGUAGGGAUCUCAACUUCGAUAAGUAACACAGCUUCCAUUCCAUAGACCAGAGAGAAAAGAGUUGCUCCCAUAGAUGUCCGCACAGAUGUGCGAUAUGCAUACAAAGCAAAUGGUAGCUUCUCGUGCCAGCCUUUAUAUGUCUCGAUCAUUUUCCCAAUAAUCUUCUUAAUAUUUUUGUUGGCCGCUUCAACAGCUCCGUUCAUUUUCGGACGAUAGGGUGAGGAGGUAUGAUGCUUUAUUUGAAAUUGCUCACACACUUCCUUCAUCAUCUUAUUGUUCAGAUUCAAGGCGUUAUCUGAAAUGAUUCUUUUAGCCAAACCAUAUCGACAGAUGAUUUCCUUUUUUAAAAACCUGCAAACUGCAGUCUUCGUCACAUUGGCAAACGAAGUGGCUUCUAUCCAUUUUGUGAAGUAGUCAAUAACCACAAAAAUGAACCGGUGUCCAUUAGAAGCUUUUGGGGAAAUUGACCCUAUAACAUCCAUGCCCCACAUAGAAAAAGGCCACGGAGAAGUCAUGACAUGAAGGGGCGAAGGGGCUGCAUGGAUUUUAUCGCCGUAAAUUUGGCAUUUGUGGCAUUUUCUUGUAAAACUAAUGUAGUCGCUUUCUAUCGUCAACCAGUAGUAACCAAGUCUCAUAAUCUUCCUGGCCAUAGUGAAACAAUUGGCAUGUGUCCCACAGGUUCCCUCAUGGACAUCUUCAAGUAUUUUUUUGGCUUCAAUAGCAUCUACGCAUCUCAAGAGCAUUUGAUCUUUUCCUCUUUUGUACAAAAUGUCCCUAUCAAGAACAAAUUCUACUGCCAUUCUUCUGAUUGUUUUUUUAUCAUUUUCAUUUGCUUGUUCGGGAUACUUUUGAUUCUUGACAUAUUUUAAGAUAUCAUGGAACCAUGGCCGUCCAUCUGGUUCUUUUUCAAUGCUGAAACAAUGUGCAGGGACUUCAUAUAUGCUCAUUUGAAGAGGCAUUAUUUCUGUUUCUCUGUUUGCUUUAAACAUUGAAGCCAAAGUAGCCAGGGCAUCAGCCAAUUGGUUUUCUUCUCGUAGGAAGUAAUUAAAAGUUAUUUAUUUGAAUUCUUUGAUCAGUCCUGCUACUAGAUUGUUGUAUUUAGCUAGUUUCGAAUCUCUCACUUCCCAAUCCUCACGGAUUUGGUAUAUCACCAACGCUGAGUCCCUGUACACCUCUAAGAUUUCAACGUUUCAUUCAAUAGCUGCACGAAGUCCCAUGAUACAGGCCUCAUAUUCCGCUAUGUUAUUGGUAUAGAAAAAAUUCAGCCUGGCAGUGAAUGGAUAAUGGUUCCCUUCUGGUGAUACUAAGACUGCUCAAAUCCUAUGCCCCAAUGUAUUCGAUGCACCAUCAAAGCUCAUCUUCCAUGACUUCUCUUUUGAUGACUCGCACUCUUUUUCUGGAAUGCACAUCAAAUCUUCAUCUAGGAAAUCAAAUCUCAAUGGGUCGUAUUCCUCCAUUGUUCGAGUGGCUAAGAAAUCAGCUAUUAUAUUCCCUUUUAUUGACUUUUGGCUCACAUAGACGAUGUCGUAGUCUGAUAGUAGGAUCUGCCAUCGUGCCAUUCUUCCUGAGAGUGUAGGUGAUUCCAUCAUGUACUUUAUUGGGUCCAACUUUAAAAUUAACCAUGUUGUAUGAUACAACAUAUAUUGUCUGAGCCUUUGAACUACCCAGACCAAAGCGCAACAGAAUUUUUCAAUUGAUGAGUACUUUGCCUCAUACUCUGUGAACUUUUUGCUGAGAUAGUAAAUCGCCUUUUCUCUUUUCCCUGACUCAUCAUGUUGCCCCAGUACGCAACCCAUUGAAUUUUCGAACAUAGUCAGAUACAAUAUUAAAGGUCUCUUAGAGUUGGCGGUACUAGCACCGGGGGACUAGAAAAAUACUGUUUUACCUUGUCAAAAGCCACUCGGCACUCUUCGUUCCAUUCUCCCGGAUUAUAUUUUCGAAUGAGUCAAAAAAUUGGGUCACACUGGUUGGUAAGUUGAGCAAUGAACCGAGCGAUAUAGUUCAACCUCCCUAAAAAUCCUCUGACUUCUUUUUACGUGCGCGGAAGUGAUAGUUCUUGUAUGGCUUUUAUCUUAUCUGGAUCAACUUCAAUGCCUCUUUCGCUGACUAUGAAGCCUAGCAAUUUUCUCGAGGUAGCCCCAAACGUACAUUUGGCUGGAUUAAGCUUCAGCUAGAACUUUUUCAGUCUUUCGAACAACUUCCUGAGGUUCCCAACAUGCUCUCUUUCUCCCUUGGAUUUGUCGAUCAUAUCAUCGAUGUAGACUUCUAUUUCUUUGUGCAUCAUGUCAUGAAACAAUAUCACCAUGGCCCUCUGAUUUGUUGCCCCAGCGUUAUUUAAUCCGAACGGCAUUAACUUAUAACAGAAUGUUCCCCACAUCGUUACGAAAGUAGUUUUUUCCAUAUCCUCAGGAGCCAUUUUUAUCUGAUUAUAACUCGAGAAUCCAUCCAUGAACGAAAACAAUGAAUGUUUGGCUGUAUUAUCUACCAACGUAUCGAUGUGUGGCAAAGGAAAAUUAUCUUUAGGACUUGCUCGAUUCAAAUCGCGAUAAUCCAUACACAUUCGUACUUUGCCAUCUUUAUUUGGUACUGGGACUAUGUUAGCUACCCAUUGUGGGUAUUUGGAGACUUGUAGGAAACUAGCAUCGAAUUGUUUCUUGACUUCUUCUUUUAUCUUUAACAGUAUUUCAAGUCUCAUUCGUCUUAAUUUCUGUUGAAUGGGUUUGCAUUCUGGUUUCAGUAGGAGUCUAUGGACCACUACAUCCUCAUCCAAUCCUGUCAUGUCCUGAUACGACCAUGCAAAUACAUCUUUGUACUCAUGAAGCAAAGCGAUCAAAUCAUGUUUGGUGUUAUCUGAAAUGGAGGUUCCAAUCUUCACUUUUUGCCUCUUUUCUCCAUUUCCCAAGUUUACUAUCUCAACAGAUUCUUGAUGAGGUAAAAUCUAUUUAUCUUCUUGUUCUACUAUUCUUAGUAAGUCAGGAGAUGAGACAUAGUCUUCAACAUUUUCCUCAGCUUCAAACUCUCCUAAACAAAUAGAUUUCUCGAAAUCGAUUUCAAGAUUUGUAACGGGUUUGUUCAUAUCGUUGAUAUCUGAGCACCUGAAAGUUGAAUGGAAAAGAAAACUAUAGAGGAGCAUCAAAGUAUUGGGACCAACAAACAUAAUGGCAUGAUGUGAGAUAUAUAUAAUGACAGGCUGUGAGAAGAGGAAAAAGUAUGAAGUUAAUGAGAAUGUAAAGACCAUGACAAAAUGUAUCUUCAUUAAUGUUCAUUUAAAUGAUGAAGAGCAAAACAUAAGCUCUUACAAAAGAAUCCCUACUAUUACUUAGGGGCACACAAAAAUAAUAGUGUUAACAUUGAGCAUUACUCUGGAGAAGACUUAGAAACUACAAGGAGAUCCACAGUAGUCUAAUUGUUCAAAAUGAAUCCAGGAGGACAAGGGCGUAUCAUUGAAACAUCUUUAAUUGCGUCAUUUCCUUUGUCAAUGACAUUUAUACUGAUAUUCUGAAGACCCAUUUCAAUUGAUAACAGUGUACUUCGUGGAUUAUCCUGUCCGGGGUAUAUCAUUCCUGCAGAUGUAAAUAUUUUUGACAAAGGAGGGUACGUUAUGGGCUCCCAUUCUAAUUCUCGGCCCAAGGUUCUUGCGAUCCUUCUUUCUUGAUCUUUCUUCCAUUAUUUUCUUCUUUGACGUACAUCUGGUUGGAACCCUAAACUGUAUCGAGCUUUGUGAUGUACUGGCUUUAAAGCCCUGACUAUUCCUUGUAGGUACCUUCCCAAACUUUUCCUUGCUCGGGUUCCUCUUCCCACAGUUAUCUUGAUUCCCAUCCUAGUAUUUCUCGAUAGUUUUGGCACGGGAAUUCUGUUUCUCUCAGCGACGAAUGUGGCAUUGACAAAUUCAAGGGAUCGGAAGGAACAUUCUAUAGCAUCUUUACUCACUUUAAUGUAUGGUGCGUCAGUAGAAAUAGAUGCUACAAUGUCUUCUUCUUCCUCGACAGUGACCAAAUAGCCAUCCAUGAUAAAUUUUACCUUUUGAUGGAGGGAUGAUGGGACCGCUCCAGCGGAAUGGAUCUAGGGUAUUCCCAAAAGGUAGUUAUAUGAGGGUGUAAUGUCCAUGACUUAGAACUCGACAUCAUAGAUGUAGGGACCCACUUCUAGAGGGAUCUCAAUCUUCCCCAUGACUUCACGUCUUGUCCCAUCGAAUGCCCUUACUGUGGAAUGACAGGGCCUUAAAUAGGACAGAUCUAUCAGAAUUCUGGAAAGCGUGGCUAAGGGUAUGACGUUGAGUGCCGACCCAUUAUCGAUGAGCAUGUUCGGUAUUAUGUAACCCUUGCAGCGGGUUGUGAUAUGCAAUACUUUCACGGAGCCUCUACCAUUAACUGGUAUUUCAUCUUCACUAAAAGAAAUGAAAUUGUCCGCGUUCAAAUUAUUCACCCACCUAUCAAGUUUCUCAACAGAUAUGUUGUUUGCUACGUAAGCUUGAUUUAACACCUUCAGCAA
RNAcentral lists this long non-coding RNA (86783 nucleotides) under Gossypium barbadense (sea-island cotton). RNAcentral's name for it is "long non-coding RNA (GBAR_LNC006855)". The stretch from base 64116 to 64254 matches the Rfam family "MIR7502 microRNA precursor family". The record is from RNAcentral. Lineage: Eukaryota; Viridiplantae; Streptophyta; Magnoliopsida; Malvales; Malvaceae.